This 52466-nucleotide long non-coding RNA is filed under the name Vitis vinifera (wine grape). RNAcentral's name for it is "long non-coding RNA (VVIN_LNC001267)". Lineage: Eukaryota; Viridiplantae; Streptophyta; Magnoliopsida; Vitales; Vitaceae. The record is from RNAcentral.
ACAUAAGAGUCUUCAUCUUCACCUCUCAAAAGAAAUCUAUCCCCACCCAUUGAGCUACAACUCUUCCAUCUCCUUCUCCCAAUCCUCUCCAUACCAUUCCUCUCAAUCAACUCUGUAAAAGAACAUGGGUGUCACAAGACUCAGUCAAAAGUACGCGACUCAUGUCACUCCAGGCAGGAUGUUCAAGGCCUUGAUCCUAGACUCCCACAACCUCUGCCCCAAGCUCAUGUUUUCAUCCAUUAAGAGCAUUGAAUUUCUUGAAGGGGAAGGAGAAGUUGGGAGCAUCAAACAGAUCAACUUCACUGAAGGUCAGCAAAAGUACUAGAUACUAAUUUUCCAGCAUAUACUCAGUGCCUUUGAAUUAGAUAAUUCAGUGAUAACAUAGCUAACAAACAUGUUUGAUUGUGAUGGAAUAUGCAGCUAGUCCUUUAACAUACAUGAAGCAUCGGAUCGAUGCACUAGACAAAGAGAAACUCACAUGCACAUACACUAUGUUUGAGACUGAUGCCCUGAUAAUGGACAAGAUUGAAUAUAUUACUUAUGAUGUGAAGUUCGAGCCAUAUGGUUUUGGGGGGUGUGUUUGUAAUCUGACAAGCGUCUACAAAACAAAAGGGGAUGUAGAGAUCAGAGAAGAGGACAUAGAGCAUGGCAAGGACAGAGCAAUUGGGAUGUAUGAAGUGUUGGAAGCCUAUCUCAUGGCACACCCUCGCGCCUAUACUUGAAAAAAACCUCUCUGAUUAUUUUGAGAAUUGUAUGUUUUUUUUCCUAAUAUGUUUAGCUACCUUUUUUUUUUUUCUUUUUUUCUUUUUUCUUUUUUUUUCUUUUUUUGGUUCUUGUCUUGAAAAAUGCAAAAUACAAUCAGUAUGUGAAUUUUGCCAAGUUAUGGGUUAUGUUGUCUCUGGGCUCUGGUUUUGUGGCUCUGCAAAUGACAAAUUCAUGGCAGGCAGAAAAGUCUUAGCAGCAGAUCUAGCAGUGUUUUCAUUUUUAUCUAAUGAUCUUUUUGCUUGUUAUGAACUUUUUCAUUGGAGUUCAAUCCAUAAGCAUCCUAUCAAUGCCAAAUAUGAGAAUUGAUCGGAGAAAUCAAAUGGGAGAUGAAUAAUAAAAUUUCCAGAAAGAAAGAUAAAGAGCUGAUAGAUAAGUAAAACUGCCAUUGAUGUGAUCAAUCUUCAUAUCUAAACAUAUAUAAAUGCACAUUAUCCAGGUUGAUAUUGAGUUCCCAUGUUAUGUUGAUCUAUGGUCUCAAUCAACUGAAUCUCUCUCAGGUUUUUGUCUGUUUCCUCUUUAAUGGUUUGAUUGUGGUACAGAGAGAGUAGGAUUCUUUCCAAGUCAAUUGAACCUCAAGGCACCCUUCUAUGAUAUGGUACUAUGAUCUCCCUCUGGUUCAUUAAACCACAAAAUAAAAACAAGGGUUUUAUCACAGUGGUGACGAUGAGAGAAUUGACUCCUCUAAUGGGGAAAAGAAGAAGAAUGAUAUAAGGGGUUUGUUUGGUCACAGUGGAAAUUAGUUCGAUGUUCUUCAUGGUGAUGGAUCUCAUCUCCUGCGUUGAUUUCUUUUGUUGGGAUUCCAUCUUGAUUUUCCAUCAUUCACCAUGUACCAAAGGCUUGAACAUCUUUAGCAGGAGCAGCCAGAGUCAUGAACUUUUUGGGUAAAGUAAAGCAGGUAACACCCAUCAUUGCUUUCAGAGCAAGAUUAUGAUCUCUUAGAAAUAAAAUUGAAGUAUAGAUUGGUUUGGUGUGAAGGGUCUUGGAUUCUGUAGGGGAAAAGGAAGAAUGAUAAAACAACUUAUAGGCCAAUUUUUGUGGUAGUUCUAAUUAUCAAAUUGGCCAUUUUUGACUCAACCUCAGCUGCCACCCAACCUAACUUAUCCAAAAUCUAUCUUGUUCAAAGUUCUUGUCUGAAAGGUCUAAACCCUUUUUGCUUUCUCUCCUUUGGCUGGACCCAAACUUCAUCUGGGUCACACGACCCCAGCCAAUUCUGAAAGUUCCUCCUUGUUGAGGUAGUUCAAACCCACCCAGAAGCAUAAGAUAUGCUUUUGUGAUUCCACACUUGAUCUAAACCUGAUAUCAAGAAAGAAAUCUACAAUUCUAUUGAAAGGAUAUGCGUAUACAUCUGACUAGAACUUUUGCCCAUACUGGGACCAUGUAAAGGUGGCUCUUGCCAUCGCAGACAUGGGGUGGGUACCUUGGUUCCUCAGGUCAAGCCGCCCAUGUGGCAUAUGCAUAAGUGCGUGUUUAGUCAAAACUCGGAGAGGCAGAAGGUUGAAUCUCCAAUUAAUUCCUCUUUUGUGAAUUCAUGCCAAACACAUACCACCUAAAACCCAAUCUAUAAGUACUGCAAACUGGUGAAGAUCCCCACAAUUUUCAAAGACCAUUGCUUUCAUAUUCUCCCAAAACAUGGGUGUCACCAGUUUCACACAAGAAUUCACAUGCCCAAUUGCCCCCUCUCGCAUCUUCAAGGCCCUGAUCCUAGACUCCAACAACCUGAUCCCAAAGCUCUUGCCCCAGACCAUAAGAAGCAUCGAUGUUGUCCAAGGAGAUGGAGGAGCUGGAACCAUUGAACAAGUGAACUUCACCGAAGGUCAGUAAUCUUAAAUCAAAAGAAUAGAUAUUAUAUGUUUUAAGCUCAAUAGUUAAAAGCAGUUUGUAUAUACAUAACAUUAGGAACUUUUUCCCCAAAUAGGCAUACACUCUUUGCGAGGCUAAACAAGCUCUAAUACUAUUUGUAACAACCUCGUCUCAACCCCAUGUGUAGGUAUUAUUCGCUCUAAGUCCAAUAAACCCACAUGGCUUUUAAAACUUCCAUAGGGAUUGAGAAUUACUUUGAAACAAUUUAUAACAAUCCACUCUCAACCGUGUAUAGGUAUUAUUUAUGAGCCCACACAAAUUUAAAAUGCUUUUAAAUAAUUAAAAGCAACUCAUACAUGUAUUGCAAUAGAAACUUUUUUCCCUAUCCCAUGUGAAAUAUUACAGCAAGAGCCUGAAAUAUGUUUCUUUUGGCUUGUCAUGCAGCUAGCAAUCUCAAAUACGUGAAGCACCAAAUCGAAGAAUUGGACAAAGAGAAUUUUGUGUGCAAGUAUCGUAUGAUUGAGGGAGAUGUAUUGGGUGAGGAGCUUGAAUCAAUUGCUCAUGAGGUGAAGUUUGAGGCAGCAGAUGGAGGUAGCAUUUGUAAGAUGGCAAGCGAGUAUCACACCAAGGGAAAGUUUGAGAUUAAGGAAGAAGAGAUAAAAGCUGGUAAGGCUAGAGCUAUGGGGAUAUACAAAGUUGUGGAAGCCUAUCUAUUGGAGAAUCCCCAUGUCUAUGCUUAGUUUCUAUCUUCCUCUAUAUACAUAUUCACACAUAUUUGAUUGUCACUUCUCUGUUGUCCAAUGUUUUCUCUAUUAUAUACUUUAUACUGGUGUUUUGUAUUCUUCAUUACAUGUACCCUUAAUUUUUUUCUUUUUUUCCUUGGCCAAAAUUGCCUCUAAAUUUCCCUAUUGUAAUGUUAUUGACAAAUGGAAAAACUAAGAAAUACGAAUUUUUCUAUUUGAAUUGUUGGAAUGGCAACACCCAUAUAAGUUGAGGGUAAUCUUUUCGUAGUUGCAUGAUGAUUGAAAAAUAUUCAAUAAUUAGUUCAUUAAAUAUUGCAUGUUAAUGAAAUGAUUAGUUUGAAAAUUAAGGGGGAUAUGUUAUUAUGAGUUUGGUGAUGUUAGGUGAAAUUCUAGAGAACAUAAAAGCAUCUUAAUUCAUGUGAUGAAAAAAUUGCAAUUGGUAUGCUAUUGGAGAGGUUUGGGAUCAAAAUGAAAAUAUGAAUCUCUAUCUUAAGCCUUAGGGGUGCUUUUCGAAACCUAAAAGUAGUAAAGGCAAAACAAUGUUUAGAUAUACCUAUGAAAUUUCUAUUUGAAGCCUUAUUUGGAGAACUUCUUGAAGCCUAAAAGUAGCAAAGGUAAAACAAGGGUUAGAUAUUACUAUCAAGUCUCAACUAUGAUUUUCAUACUUUUCAACGUGAUCUAUGAAGUAAAAGAAUUCAAGCUUUUACUCGUAGAGUGGUGUCAAAAGCAUACUAUUAUUUGUCUUUAAUAUCAAGUCCAACAAAUUGGUAUUAAAAAUCUUAUUAAUGAUUGUCUCCUUUGUUUUUAUAGUGUCUAGAUUGAAAUUCAAGCAUAUGGUUUGAUUUAACGUUUAAAGAGGUUUGUUUGGAUUUAGAUUAGAGAUGAAUAAAAUGGAUGAUAGUGGAUUCAACUUCGGGAUGGUUUUAUAUGAAAAAAUUAUAUAGAACAAUGAAUAUUUUAUAAAAGCAAAAUUAGUUAGGAAAAAAGAAUUAUUCUCUUAUCUACUUUUUUUCUCUUUCAAUGUUGAAAGAAUCCUCAUUUUCUAAGUACACACUACAAUACAAUCACUUCUUUUAUAUAUCUAUUACAGUUGUCAACAUAUGGAUGUAACAUCUUUCGAUAAAAACCUUUCAAAAAAUAAGAGAAAUUCAUUUGAUAUAUUAAAGAAAAUUCAUUUUGAAAUCUCUUCUUAUAAACCUUUUUAUGAAAACCAUUACUUUCCUAGCUUGUGGAAGAAGAAGAGCUUUAAUAUAAUUCACAUAUAUCCUAACGCUCUCUAAUGAUUAGAAGAGUUUUAUACACUUCACUACCAUCAAAGGAGACUACAAAUUCAGUUAGAAAAUAAAUGCCCUUUAGGAAGAACUUGUUACAUGUGCAAAAAUGUUGCUCUAUGGGAAAUGAUGGUUCAAACGCCGAACCAAUACGGGGCUAAAAAAAAUGAACUCAAACAAUUGUUAAGAGUACACUAAUAUCAAUAGGUGUAUAUAAAUUUUGGCUAUAAGCCUGAAGAAGAUAAAAAUCAGGAGACUAAUGUUAUAAAACGAUGACUCAUGAUACUCAAGGCAUGAGGAUGAAUAUGAUAUUAAAUCUUAUAAAAUGGUAUAGUGAGAUGUUGGUAAUGGCUAGUUUGCUUUCGGUGCCUAGUCAUAGGUAUGGCUUAUAUAAAAGAUUUGAGUUUAAGGUUUAGGAUUUCCAAGGAAAAGAUUAUGGAGGUACUCCUUCAAGAUUGUUAUACGUGCAAUAUAGUGGAAUAGCCACACUCGAAAUGGUCAUGACUGAUGUGAUGUUGAAGUACCAUAAAAGAGUACUAGCCGCACUCUCACCCACAGCAACUAAUUUGCUGAUGGGAUUACUAAUGCCCGAGCCUCAACAGAACUGAAAAAUGAGGCCCAAUGAGACCCUUCAAAUCCAAAUCACAAUGCUACAAUUCCAUAAGAGCUCCACCCAUUUGUCCACUCCAUCAGAAAGCAUGAGUAUUGUUGGUCUUCAUCCAGGAUUCCAGAUUUAACGAACCCAUCUUCCCUCUUUAAGAAUCCUGCAGAAGAGGCCCUUCGUUGAGCGAAUAGGUAAUGAAUAUGGACUGGCCUGCCAUGCAGCAAUGUGAUAUAUCCGCAAUGGGCAUCAGCAACAAUGAUUGGGAGAGAAUUGGGAUGAGCGUUCUUUCCUUUUCACUUUUUUGCAGUCGGCUGCCUUUUACCACCAUAACCAAGUGCGACAGAUAAUUUGGGGAAUGCAUAGCCAGACCGUAUAUUCCCCCAAGAAGACGACCUGGAAAAUACAAGGCAGCGAGUCAAUGUCCUACACUUGAAAACAAGAGUAGGUUUCACUUUCCAUAAAGCACAGUAGCUGUAGGCACUAUAAAUUGCCUGCUUCAAUCAUAGAAAAAAAAAGUUCAUGUAGUGUAAAUCUAUGUUUAUCUACACACUGAAGUCAACCCAUUGAAUUGAUAGAUGGCUAAAUUUCGUAGAGGCAUAUUUGGGUAUGUUCCCAUCUACAUCACCCCCCUUUCUCUUGUGGGCCAACCAGAGGGGCGGUACCAAAUGAAGAAAAUCAAAAUGACCUCAUUCAUAUCAAUUUUCCAACUUCAAUAAGCACAUUUUGAAAAAACAAAAAAAAAAAAAAAAAAACAAAAUCAUGUUUUUCAAGAAUUUGUUCUAUAAUGUUAUUGUGCUUUCAUUUAUUCCUUGUAGAAUUUUUAGAGAAAAAUUAAAAAUAUAAAAAAUAUUUAAAAAAACAUUCUCUUUAUACAAGAAUAUACAAUGCCUUUAUAGAGAAAAACCUGGAUAAACUGUUUUUCAUAUUUAUAUUUUUAUAUGGAAUUUUAUUUUUUAAAAUAAGUAAAAAUUGUUUUCAAAAAUUAUUUUUUUUAAGAACUGUUUUCAAGCAAAUCCUAUUAAAUUUUCAAAAAGAGUGAAACAUCAAAACUAAAGUUCCAGAGAGUCCUCAUGUUCACACCCUCAGUGGUGACAUCAUGGCUUUUCAUAAAGAUCAUUCAAAGCUAUAAGGUGAAUACCACCUCAAAAUAAAGCAUCAUGGUUUUUUUCUACAAAAUUGCCGUUAAUUUUUCUUGAAUCCCACAAGCCUAAAUCUCAAAAUUUGCCAAACAUAUAAGGCUACUGGCUUCCUUGCCUACUAGAGAAAGCAUGCCAAACACCGUCCACUGUUCACAAUAGCAUCAAGAACAAGAACCAAGCCAACUAGGACCACACCGUAACAAAAAGUUUAGUCUGAAAACAGUCUAGUCUUACUUAGGAGAUGGACACUAUAUUUAGAAAUUUUUAAGACGGGCAGAGAUGGAACCUCUCUGGAUCUCAGGAUGGAAUCUUGACUCGUUGAGCCAAUAACAUCAGAACCCAACCUAAUAAAGGUUAAACAAUUGAGCACAUAGUCCAGCAAAAACUGGGCUAAAAAUGAAGAUUCGUUACUUGUGAAUUAUGCAACCUGAUUCCAUGUAAUUGUGCUUAGUGAUUCAAUCCGAAGCAGAGUAAAGAAGAGCUGAAUCCGAGUCAUAGGACCACUUCCUGCAAAGAGGCCAAUAGCAAACCAAACUAAUCAAACCAUAACAAAACUUGGGUAGAUGUCUAAAUCACAAUCUAAUCAACACCCAACUCAUCAGUAAGACUAACAAAAAGUUCAAGCACCACCCAAUGUCAGUGGGAGAAUCUGGUCUCCGUCAACCUUUUAUGGCAAAGCUGAAAGAAAGGUUUGUGGGAUGCAACUCAGUAUAAGAAAAAUAAACUACAAUUUUGACACUAUAAGGUGUUUCUUGUAACAAAAGGAUUCCUCAAGAGUGGAUAUCCUUCAUUGAAAAAGCUACUUUAGAUUUUUUUUUGACAUAUAUAUGAAUGAUCUAUCCAUCAUCUGCUCUCACUUUAAUUCUUUUAUUUCUUUCUUGGCCGGGCUUUGGAUAUCCAAACUGCGCAAACGUCCCUCAAUUAUAGAUGGCCAUCCAUCUUAAAGCAAAUUCCCUUUGGCUCAACAUUCAAAGGUCCAUACAAAACACCGCCCUCUUUCUCGAAGCCAUACCCUCCUCCCUCUCUUUAAGAUUUGAAAGUGACUUCUGAAAGCCAAGCAAGGGCAAAAUUCACUCUCUGAGGGAAAAGCAAAAAAAGAUUCCUUGCAUGUCCCAGGCCUUUUGCCCUUCAAAUAUUCCCUCCUCAUAUACAAAUAAAUGCCACCUAUUGAUUCUUCAUUCACUCUCCACCCUCUCCAUUCCAUAGAAAACACAACCCUUUGUUUUUUCUUCAUUUUCCUGCCUUUCCCUAACUCAUGAUCCCAGAACUGGAGGUAUGUGCCAAAUCCACAGUAGGAACAUAUUGAUACAGAACAACUAGUGCCUACAUCGUAGUUCUAGCGUUCUUCUUUGCAGAUAUCUUGCAAGACAUUUUCCUAACCUGUCAGUUUUCUUGUUAAAAAAAAUGCAGAAGCCUCGGGUCACUGAGAUACAGGUCCGGAUGGACUGUAAUGGGUGCGUACAGAAGAUCAAGAAAGCCCUAUACGGCAUCAAUGGUGAGUGAUUUAUUGCUAAUGGGUACCUCAAUAGUGGUCUUUCUAUUUUGUCCCUUUACUCCUAUGUUUUGGUGUAGGUGACCUAAUUUUUGAGUUCUCCAACAGGUAUAUAUGAUCUCUAUAUUGACUUCCCCCAACAAAAAUUGACAAUAAUUGGGUGGGCGGAUCCUGAAAAAAUAAUGAAAGCCAUUAAGAAGACGAGAAAGAUUGCCACCAUCUGUAGUCAUACAGAACCGACAGACCCAGCCACAAAGCCACCGGAACAAGCACCUGAAGGCGGCGGCCCACCCCCAGCAGAAGCUGCAAACCCUCCCCCUGCAGAAGCUCCACAAGCCGAGGCUGCCCCACCAGCGGAGCCACCAAAAGACCCACCACCACCUGAAAAUCCUCCGCCAGAGGCAACACCAGCACCUGCAGCUGCAGAUGUUAAUGCAGGUAACCCAGCACGACCUAAAGAUGUGGAAGAGGUUCACGUAAUAUACCACCACCCACCUGAGUAUGGCUACAGAUAUGGGUAUGGUCACCGGUAUGGAGGGCACUGGAACAACUACUCCAAUGUCCAAGGAUUGCAACAAGAGCCACCCCCAACCGUCUACACCAAUGUCCAAGGAGUCCAUCACGAGCCACCCCCGACAAUGUACACCAAUGUCCAAGGACUCCAUCAUGAGCCACCCCCACCUGUCUAUGUGACUCAUAGGUACAACACAUACAAGCCACCACCUUACAUCACUGAAUACGAGUACAUCCGGUCGCCACCACGGCACGCACAUUACAGUAGGAUGGACCGCUAUAGUGAGGAUUAUCGCAACGUGAAUAACAGCAAUGGAAACAUCACUUCAAUGUUUAGCGAUGAAAAUCCAAAUGCGUGUAGAAUAGUCUAGACAGGGUAGAGAAGUCAGUUUGAAAACGGAGCUCUUUCUUUUGCCUCCAAGAGAGUCUUAGCUAGAAAGUCAUUGGAGAAUAAUUAAUGAAAUAAAAGUAAUUUGUGGCCGUGAUGUUUCCUAAUAAGCACGUGAAGAUAUUGCGAGAGGAAUGAGAUUCUGAGCUUGUAAGUGGAGGAAGAAUCGAUCCUGCAUUCCACUUCUGAUAGGGCCAAUACAUACUGCCGGGUAUUCAUUUCUUAUGUAAGAAUCCUGUAAAGCAUAUAUUCUACAAGCCUAAUCCACAUCCUUCCAUUUUUCAAAAAGACAUCCAUCCUUCUCUUUAGUUUAGAUUAUCUCAUAAAAGCAUCUGCCCUUGAAAGACGAAACAAAGAUCAACAAUUUUUGCUUGUCAUAAAGUUAUGUGAACUGCCUUUUUCCAUAGUCCAUUGAUAGUACAAAUUUUCUUUUCUUUUUCUUCUCAGCUGAUUAGAUCUGCAAUGACAUUCAUAAUCUAUCAUCUAAAAUUCAAAAGAUAACAGGAUGUUCAACUCUACAAGCUGUGUGAUAUAUAUGCAUGAUGACAAACAAUGGAUCAGAAUUUCCUGCUUGGUUAAACGAUACAAUGUCCUAGAAUGUUAAAAGAAGCAUCAUAAUAGCAUAAUUUUACCAUGAUUAGUUCUCUAAUUGUCCAACCUGCACUAUAUUUGAAGUCAUGCAAAGAAGUAAAAUUAAGGAUCACCAAAGAAAGUGGUUAAAGGGGAUUCAAACCCCAAAAGAAUUUCAAGCUAUUUUGUAUAGUCACAAUCAAGAUUGACAACUACAACAGAUCCCUGAAACUAUAGUACAUUUCUUUUUAAGGUUGUAGUUAAUUACGACCAUGGGAAUUAUUAGAGGUCUAAAGCUCAGCCAUCUCCUGUACUUGAUGCCAAACCCAUCCCUAUAAGCUGACCACCAUAGAUCAUCUAGACCCUGGUGCUUAUAACUAGAGCAAACCAAAAUCCAGUUUGGCAGCAUCUCAGUAACAGCCUGAAUCAUAAGAACUGAUGCUUUUUUAUUAUUUGAACCCAGCCGCUUUGUGACAAUGGAACCUAACAGCAAAAAAGGAUCAUGCUUGAAUUUUUAGCUUCACAACAUAAAUUGAAGCAUAUUUGAGAAAGAAGAAAGUUCAAUAUUUCUCCUAGAAGAAGCAGGUAGAUGUUGUUUUUGCCCUACAUACAGAGGUUCAUUUCAUCAGGCUCCACCUCCAAGUGCAACCAGCAAAAAGGGAACAUCAAUCCUAACAGCUCAAUUUUCUGAAAAACAUGCAACAGAAGAAAGAAGUCUUCAAGUGUUUCUUUCCAGUGAUUAGAUUUGUUAAGAUUUGCCCAAACGAAAUCGGAAGAGAGAAGCAAGAAGCAAAAUAGAAAAUGAACUAUGAGAAUUAAUAUCCAAGUUUAUAUCAAACAUAAGCAUGCCCUUCAAACUACACACAAUGGCUGAAUGCCAUUAUUCUUAUAUUUUAUUUUUAAUAUCAGACAGGCCUAGCUUACAUUAAACCGUAAGAAACUUGGCUCUAACUACUGCACAAAUCUGGAGCUGAAUAUGAUUCCUUUCCACCACCAUGUAUUCAUGCCUACCAAAUAAGAGGCCUUUAUCUUAUGAUUGAUGUUUUCAAGUAUAAAAGAGUUGUGUUGUGUAAACUACCAUCAAGGGUCAUGCUCAGUCACUACACUAACAAUAAACCCAAUGAAUGGACAUAUGAAAGAUGAGCCUUCCAUGCCUCGUUGUCACCUACCAACAUCAAAUAAAAUAUUCUCACUAAUGCACAUUCUCUAUUAUUUAUGAAAAUUAAAAUACUUUCACUAUCUUCAUUGAUGGUGGAUAAAAUGAACUACAUCAAAAUUCUGCUUUCAGGCUUUUGUUAAUUGAGGUUGGUCAUUCCUUCAAAUUAUGGAGCACAAAGCAUAGCAGAGAACAAAGUUGUCGACCACCAGAUGGUUAUGAUAACUAAUGAAAUGAUAUAAAUAAAGAUAAGACAAUGACCACAUUAUUGAAGUCCCUCACAAAUAGGGUUGCAAAUGAACUGAGCUACUCAUCAUUCAUGUUGGCCCAGCUUGGUAAUAGCCUCAUUACCUUGAAUCCAGACCAAGCUCAAGCCUCAUCUUGAAGCCUGUUUAAUAAAGAAGUGAUGUAAAGCAGAAGCAACAUAGGAGAGAUCUCAAGGAAAGUAAUAAAAGAAGAAAACUUCUAUUCUUUAACUCAAACUAAUUCAAAAUCUGAAUGUACCUCAAAUGCAUGAAUAUUUCUUUUUACAACAGAAAAAACUCUAAAGCCAAAAGAAUUCUACAGCUUGCUAAAUCUUAAACUGUCAGAAAAGGUAGUCGGGUGCCAUGUUUUUUUAAUGACUUGGCAGGUAACUGCAUAUCUGACAAAAAUUCUGCCAAGCUCCAUACAUUUCAGCAAUUUCCAUUAAUGAUUCUGAUUCCACCUGACUCCGUCUGCAUCCAAGUAUGGAAGUAAUGGAACAGCAGUCACCCAUUCCAAUUCCUUGAUUCCCAAUUCCAACUAGCAUUCCUAUCCUCUCAUUCCCCCUGUCUACACAGGGCCUUACAAUAUUGUACAGCUUCAGAUAAUCUCCAUCAAGUAUUUUUCAAGUACUAAUGACUCAAAAGCCCAUGCCUAGUAAUAAAAAAGGCAAAGGGAUAUUGACUUGACAAAGAAUUAAUACCUUCUGCAGUAAGAUACAGUUAGUCAUCAUUAUCACUGCUUAUCUGGGAUUCAUCAUCUUCUUCUCCAUAAAGAACAUCCUCAACUUCUUCUUCUUCAUCUUCACUUUCAUCCACCUGGUGACCAUGUUGUAUUUGACUUAUGUUUUGGGAAGCCUUAUCAAUCUGUUAAAAGAAAGAAAUAAAGUCAAAUGCCAAAAAAAAUCAUACAACAUAUACUGAACUAAGGUGAGGAUGUGAAGUUACUAACCUGUGCCAUUACAAGCUGCAAACCACCUGAUAGCUGUAAUAAAGAUUGAACAGCCGUCCCUCUAGAUUUUGUGCUCUGAGAGGGGAAAAAACAUCAUUCAAGUCCUCCACACUAUGAAUUAUGACCCUAGAAAAGUAUGAAUAAAGUGCAACAACAUUUUGGGGAACAAACCAAUAGGAACAGCAGAGCAUGAAAACUAUGUGCAAACUAGAGAACCUACAAAUAUUAUGCAUAUCACAAAGACCCUAGAAGGUCAGCUGUGGAUAUCAUUUGAGUUGAAAGAACUAAAAUGGUCAAAUAUUUAUUUCCCAGCCCACAAAACUGAGAAGGAGCAGAGGUCAGGAUCAUGAAUACAGACCCCAACUUUAGGACUUCAAGUUCCCAAAAUCAAGACUUUGAUCUCUAAGUAGAUGUCUAGCUGUAAGGAAAGGUUCUCCUGUUGAAGUCUAGAUUUUGAUGAAACCUAUAUUGAAUUACAGAAAUUAUAUAUUUCACUAUUUCAGUGAGCUGUUAUUUCAAGUCAAACCAAAACCCAACUGAAGUUCUAAUCAUACAUCACAGGACCACUAUGGCAGGAGCUUAAGGGCUGGGAACACUCUAGGGAAAAGCUUUGGCUCUGUUUUGCAUCUCCAGCUGAUCUCAGCCUAACCCAACCAACAACCCUACUGUCAAUACCAAGGUAUGGUUAGACGUUGAACAAGCCCAAUAAUAUAUCAGUUGUCAUAUAAAAAUAAAAAUAAAACCCAUGCACAGCUUCUUUUUUUCACUUUUUGCCCAAAAAAUAAUAAUCAAACUUUAGAAUAACAUGAAUUUUCCUGAUUCGGAAAAUGAUUUAAUUUCUUUAUUAAUAUAAACAUUAAUAUAUAACAUCAAUGCAGAUAAAUGGACUAAUGAAUAAUACACUAUACAGAUUCUAUUUACAUCAAUAGUACUACUAUAGAUUGUAACCAUGUAAUAUUAAAAUUGAUAAACUUGAAUGGCAUUGCCUAUAAAGUAACUACACUAAUUGACUGGUUCCCUGAUAUAGAUUCACAUUCAAUAGUAUUCAGAAUUGUUGGCAGAUAGUCAUGAUUUUCAAGUAAAGGCCACUCCUUCACCUUUUUGAUACCCUAUAAGCCUCUUCAUUUACGCAAAAACAGUCGAACAUUAUCAAUUUAUACAUAGAAACUAAGUAAAUUUUCCCCAUCAUCUUUUCAUACAGUCUACAAACCACAAAGGGGAAGGACUCACAGAAUUAAAAAUUUCUAAUACUAACAACAAAAGCAAGUUCAUAUAUAAAAAUACAUACAUGAAGGAGAAAUGAAGAAAACAAGACUUUACCUGGUGCAAGGAAUCAAGAAGCUGGGUCACUGGUUCCUGAGAUACUAUGUGUUGACUAUGAUUCACUAAUAUAGUAUAAAUCCAUGGGAGGACAUAGUUUCCACUGCAUGACCUGUUGAAGACAACCAAAGCUCUGAGGCAGUAAAAGCAAACACUGACUUGGGCACCACCUGGCUCGUAUAUAUCUAAAAGUACUGGUGAAAAUUGGCUGAUUUGACUUUUAAGUUUAGAAAAAUAAAAACGAAGAGAAAGAGGAGGAAGAAGAAGAAGAAUAAGAACCUCCCCCAUAUAUCAAUUCUAAGGUCCACUCUUUUCUCCCUGACAUGGGUACAAUCUCCCUCAUAUUUUGUACUAAUGACAGGUAAAAAUUGAAUGCUUUAAAGAGGUCAGCCCAAAAACAUAUAUGGAAAAUUUUUAUGUCAAACAAAAAGAAUAAAGGACAAAAAAAAAACAGUAACUUUGACCAAAUAAGAAAUUUGUACUUUCUUUCAACACAAGCAAAUAUGCACAACCUUUCUUUAAAAAUAAAAUAAAAUAAGUUACAUGUGCUUGCAUCUCUCAGUCACAUCUUCCCAUGUUGUAAUUCAAUCUUUUGCAUUUUAUGGUGAUGAUCAGAAGGGAAUGGAUCAGAAUCCCCUUGCACACCACAACCAUUUUUACAUUAUUUUUGUUAAAAUCCAAAGUUGUUAUUCAACUAAAGCUAGACCAUAGACAAUUAUCAAUCAAGUACUCCGAGUGGAUUUUGGAACCACAAAUUGGGUAUGGAGGAUUGACUAAACAAGGAUUGAAAUCACACAAGUUAAGGGUAUCUCUAUAUUUUAUUUAAAAUAUGUAGCAAGCUCAUUAAAUGGGUCUCAAUCAAAUUCAGUUGAUAGUUGACGGUUUAUUUUGAGUAAAUGAUAGUUAAUAUUUUAUUUUUAGAAGAUGGUGCUAAGGGGAGGAAGAAGUCGGUUUGUGGUGGAGUCUAAGUGGUUUGAGAUUGAGAUUGAGGAGUCAGGUGGGAGUUUGAAAGGAUGCAUAUGGGAGAGAAGUAGGGGUUUUGAGUCUUGGAUUAGAUUUGGGGAGGCUAGUCUUCGUUGUCUUUUGGAAGGCGUUGAAACCUGUUGUAGAGAGGUGGAUGAUCAAAGAUGGGCUAUUGAAUGGUUGGAGGGUAACAGAAAGUUUANNNNNNNNNNNNNNNNNNNNNNNNNNNNNNNNNNNNNNNNNNNNNNNNNNNNNNNNNNNNNNNNNNNNNNNNNNNNNNNNNNNNNNNNNNNNNNNNNNNNAUUAUCCUUCCUGAAGGAAAGGGUUAGGCCAGUGGAUGGAACUCUUUGGUUAUGAGGUUGAGAGGUCUUGGAGUGACACUGACAGAAGGAUUAAAGAUUUCCAAUGUGCCAGAGUUUUCGAUGAAGCCGAAGGGAGUCCUGAAGGUUCAGUGGAAGGAAAAGGGGGUGGAAAUGAAGUCUUUUGCAGAAGCUGUUAAAUCGUCACCGAGAAGGGCGGGUGAGUCAGUGUGGUUAGAGGUAGGGGAAAAUGAGGUGCGUGGUAGACUAGAGCAUCUGAAACAUUGUCUAAUAGGGAGGUGGGGUUCUAUCUCAGUUCCACUACCUGAGUUGGAUUUCGUAAGGAAUUGGACCCGCCAGAUUUGGGAGGUUAAGGGGAAGUUGUCGAUUGCCACGUUGGGCAGGUGUAUUAUGUUGUUCGAAUUCGAUCAGGCUCAAGAGGCUGAGCGUGUUUUGGCCAGAGGCAAAAGAAGCAUUAAGGAUAAUUGGCUUAUCCUGGACAAAUGGAAUUCGGAGGUGGGGUGUUCCUUAAAGAAUCCCAUUGCCGCAGAGACAUGGGUUAGGGUGGUCGGGCUCCCACUCCAUUUCUAGUGUCUUGAGGUGUUUAAAAGUAUUGGAGAUGGGUGCGGAGGAUUUAUAGCAGUGGAUGAAGGAACCAAAUCCAUGUCUGAGCUGCAAUGGGCGAGGAUUUUGGUGAAGCGUGUGGAUUGGGAGGUCCCUAGCUCAGUUCAUAUAGCUUUGGGGACAGGGUGCUUUGCCCUUCAUCUAUGGUGGGAAUCUGCUCCUUGGUUCUCACAGGUGGUACCGGCGGGAAGCUCCUCCGAGAAAAGCGGGUUAAGGGCAGGUGAAGAAGUUGAUGGGCCUCUUCGGGUGGCUUGCUGUGGGAGUCAAAGGAAGGGGGUGGAGCAGUUGGGGUUGCAGGUGGAGGUACGAGACGUGGCGUGUAAUGGAGGAAAAACUCUCCUUCCCUCUGUUGAAGCCUCUGCAGAUGGGACUGUUGAGAGGAGAUGGGCUGGUGGCCCAGCCGACCUAGUGGGAAGGGGUAGGGAGUCUUCUCCCAUCAGUUUGGUCAACUGCGGAAGUGGGCAGGAAGGCCCAAGCAAGAGCUCUGGCCCUUCAGCUUUAAGCUGUGGGGAAGCCCAAGUCUUUUAUAGGAUCGAUUUGGGCCGGGGUCCAAGGCCCAAUCCCUGCUCCUUUAGUGUGGGGAUGUCGGGUGAGGCCUGUGGGCCUGUCCAAGCUGGGGCUUUGUUAGAUGAGGUCUUUGAUGGUUUCGAGACCCCUUCCUCGCUCCCUAGGGCUCAGUUUCUGCAGCCGAUUCCCAUCUCCAGGGGUGCUAGUCAAGACGCAAGAGGAGAAGUCGAUCCCCUCGUCGGGCUGCCGCGAGACUCGAUGGCGCGAGUUUCCUCUCAGAUGAUGGAUCGGGGGUUCCUGACUGACGAAGCUCUAUGCGAAGAGGCUUCCAGGUAUGUCGAUCUCUGUCAUAUUCCUUUGGGGGGUCGGGAUCUCUCUUCUCCUUCUUCUUCUUCUUUUGAACGGGUGACGAUGAAUGAGGGGACCACUGGUGUUUCGUUUUCUGAGGGCAUCGAAGAGGAGCAGACUUCGUUGAGUAUUAUUUUGGCUGAUGGUAGCAAGGGAGUGCUAGUCUCUAAGGGUGAGAAGCAAGUGGCUGGAGAAGGACUGGGGGGGGAGUUUGAGGGGAUGUUUCAGGAUCUAGAUGGGUGCCGGUGGGACGACAAUUACUUGGCGAGGUUUAGCAAAUUCUUGGGCUUCUCCACGGACGGGUUUGAAGGCGAAGUUCUGAAUUUGCUCCUAAGGACUAAGAGAAGAAGAUAGCAAAAUCUGAAGAAGGGCACGUCAAGGACCACUAAGUUUGAUAGGGAAUUGAAAAAACUUGAGUGGUCUAUCAAUUAUACUGGGGCAAGAAAGAAGAAAUCUGUGGUCAGAGAAGGAGGGGUUAGAAUCUCGACAGUUAGAUGAAGCUAAAGAUUCUAUCAUGGAAUGUCAGAGGGGCCAAUGACAGAAGUAAAAGGAAGGUUAUCAAGGCCCUAAUCAGAUCACAAAAGGUGGAUUUGGUGUGCUUGCAGGAGACCAAAAUCCAAGAAAUGUCCCAAGGGGUUAUUCACAGUCUUGGCGUGGGAAGAUUCUUAGGUUGGGGAGCUGUGGAUGCAAGAGGGGCAGCUGGAGGGGUGGUGGUUUUCUGGGAUAAGAGAGUUUUGGAGCUAGUAGGCCUGGAAGUGGGAAUCUUCUCAAUCUCGUGUCAAUUUAAGAAUUGCGAGGAUGGGUUUAUGUGGUUCUUCACAGGGGUCUACGGACCUACUAUGAAAAGGUUUAGAGAACCUUUUGGGGAAGAGUUAGGUGUUAUUCGAGGUUUGUGGUCUGAUCCCUGGUGCAUCGGUGGGGACUUCAAUGUUAUUAGAUUUCCCAGUGAACGGAGUAGAGUUGGAAGACUAUCUGGUCCUAUGAGAAGGUUUUCAGAGGUGCUAGAUGAGUUGGCUUUAAGAGAUAUGCCUCUUCAGGGGGGUCCUUAUACGUGGAGUGGGGGGUUAAAUGGCCAAUCCUGGUCGAGAUUGGAUCGCUUCCUGAUUUCGGAGGAUUGGGAAAACCAUUUUAGUGGAGUGUCUCAGUGCACACUACCAAGGCCUGUGUCUGACCAUUACCCAAUCCUCUUAGAUGGGGGUGGUGUUAGGAGAGGUCCUAUCCCUUUCCGUUUUGAGAAUAUGUGGUUGAAGGAUGAGGGAUUUAAGGAGCUUCUGAGGGGUUGGUGGCAAGGUUUUAAUUGCAGUGGUUCAUAUAGCUUUGUCCUCACAGAAAAACUAAAGGCUUUAAAAGUUAAGCUGAAGAAUUGGAAUAAGGAAGUCUUUGGUAAAGUGGGAGUAAAUUUGAGGAUGGCUUUGGGCAGAGUUUCUUUCUGGGAUGAUCAGGAGAGGCAGAGAACGUUAAACGAGCAGGAGUUAGAGGCUAGAAAGGAGGCCAAGGAGGAGUUUAAAAAGUGGGCGAUUAUGGAGGAAAUCUCGUGGAAGCAGAAAUCAAGACAAAUAUGGUUGAAGGAAGGAGAUAAGAACACGGGGUUCUUUCAUAAGAUGGCGAACUCUAACAGUAGAAGGAAUUGUUUGAAAAAGAUUAAAGUCAGAGGUAUUUGGCUUUCAGACAAGCAAGAUAUUCAAAGGGGAGUGGUGAGGGCCUAUCAGGAUCUGUUAUCGGAUCCUGGUGGCUAGCACCCGAGUAUGAGCAGCUUGGAGUUUGAUAGUAUUGGAAGAGAGGAGGCUGUCAGGCUGGAGGAGAUGUUCUCUUUGGAAGAAGUGUAUCUGGCCCUUUCGGAGCUAAAUGGGGACAAGGCUCCUGGACCGGAUGGAUUUCCCAUUGCCUUCUGGCAGUUUUGUUGGGAUUUUGUCAAAGACGAAAUUAUGGGCUUCUUUAAGGAUUUUUUUGAGAGGGGAAAAUUCGUUAGAAGUCUCAACUCCACGUUUCUGGUUUUAGUCCCCAAGAAAGGUGGGGCUGAGGAUUUACGUGACUAUAGACCCAUCAGCUUGGUGGGUGGUCUGUACAAGAUUCUCGCCAAGGUUCUAGCCAAUAGGCUGAAGAAAGUAGUGAGUAAGGUGGUGUCUUCGGCCCAAAAUGCCUUUGUUGAAGGAAGGCAAAUCCUUGACGCAGCGUUAAUUGCUAACGAGGCCAUAGACUCGAUGCUGAAAGGGGAUGAAGCUGGUGUGUUAUGCAAGCUGGACCUAGAGAAGGCUUAUGACCAUAUUAACUGGGAUUUUCUGAUGUUAGUGAUGCAAAAAAUGGGCUUUGGGGAGAAGUGGGCCGGCUGGAUCAAGUGGUGCAUCUCCACUGCCUCUUUCUCAGUUCUGAUUAACGGGUCACCAGCGGGUUUCUUCCAAAGCACUCGAGGGUUAAGGCAAGGGGACCCCAUUUCCCCCUACUUGUUUGUCUUAGGAAUGGAGGCCUUAAGUUGCCUCAUUAACAAAGCGAUUAGGGGGGGCUUCCUUUCCGGCUGCAGACUAAGGGGAAGGGGUGGAAAUGGGAUUCAAGUAUCUCAUUUAUUAUUUGCGGAUGAUACGCUGGUCUUUUGCAAGGACUCCCAAGACCAAAUGGUUGUUCUAAGCUGGCUUUUAAUGUGGUUUGAAGCCAUUUCUGGUCUGAAUAUUAACUUGGAAAAGAGUGAAAUUCUGCCGGUGGGAAGUGUUGAGAAUGCUGAGGUCUUGGCUUCUAAAUUGGGCUGCAAAGUGGGGUCUCUUCCUUCCACUUACUUGGGGCUGCCUCUAGGUGCUCCUCACAAAUCAGUGGUUGUGUGGGAUGGUGUGGAAGAAAGGAUGAGGAAGAGACUCGCUCUAUGGAAGAGGCAGUUUAUUUCUAAGGGGGGGAGACUCACUCUCAUUCGGAGCACUUUGGCUAGCAUGCCGAUUUAUCUUAUGUCCUUGAUGCGUAUCCCAAGAGUUGUAAGAUUGAGGCUUGAGAAAAUCCAAAGGGAUUUCCUUUGGGGAGGGGGUGCGUUGGAGAAGAGGCCUCACCUUGUAAAUUGGGAUGUGGUGCGCUCUCAAAAAAUGAAGGGUGGAUUGGGGAUCAGAAAUUUUUCUAUCCUCAAUAGGGCCCUGUUGUGUAAAUGGAGCUGGCGCUUUGCGGCUGAAAGAGAUUCUUUUGGAAACUUGUUAUCAGCUCGAAGUAUGGGGAAGAAGGAGGGUGGAUCUCUUGUGAGGUUAGGGAAGGCUAUGGGGUGGGGUUGUGGAAGGAAAUUAGAAAGGAAGGCGUUUUGUUGUUUAAAAACGCUUCCUUCACUGUAGGGGAUGGUAGAAGGGUGAAAUUUUGGAAGGACAUUUGGUGUGGAAACACUCCCCUAUGUGAGGCUUUUCCUUCUCUGUUUGCCUUUGCGGUUUCCCAAGAUGCGUGGGUAGAGGAUUGUUGGGAUUAUAUGGGGGAUGCAGGGGGAUGGAAUCCUUGUUUCUCUAGGUCUUUUAAUGACUGGGAGCUGGAGGUGGUGGCGAGUCUCCUUUCGGUCCUUCAAGGAAAGAGGCUCAAUGUUGGGAUGGAGGAUAAAGUGGUGUGGAAUGCUUCUAAGAAUGGGAGUUUCUCUGUAAAAUCCCUUUACAAUACUCUGGAUUCUGGUGGUGCAGUCCCGUUUCCGUGGAGAAUCAUAUGGAGCCCUUGCAUGCCUACUAAGGUGGGUUUUUUUGCUUGGGAAGCUUCUUAGGGGAAGGUCCUAACCCAAGAUCAUCUCAAAAGGAGGGGCUGGUCUCUAGCAAACAGAUGCUUCUUAUGUUGUGAUGAUGAGGAGACUAUUAACCACAUCCUUAUUCAUUGCCCCAAGGCGAAGGUGUUGUGGAAUCUUAUGUUUACGAUGUUUAGGGUUAAUUGGGUUCUUCAGCUCACAGUUAAAGACACUCUCCUUGGCUGGUCCGUUUCCUUUGUAGACAAGAAGCGUGGGAAGAUUUGGCGGGCAGCCCCCCUUUGUUUAUUUUGGACGAUGUGGAAAGAAAUAAAUAGGAUAGCUUUUGACAAUGAGGCUUUGUCGAUCCAAAGAUUGAAAACCUCCUUCGUUUGUAAUCUUUCCUCUUGGACUAAGUCUUGUUUAGAUGGAGAGCCCCACUCCUUAAUUAAUUUUGUAGAUUGGUUGGGCUCUAAUUGAGGGUUGGUGAGUGUAUGCUUCCUUGUGCUUUUUGUUUUUGGGGCCUCUCGUGUAUACUUCCUGUAUGCUUUGGGUUCCCUUCUUGCUUCCCUCUUUUUAAUAUAAUUUUUCUGUGUUUAUCUAUCAAAAAAAAAAAUAUUUUAUUUUUGUGUAAAAGAAUAAUAGUUUUUAUAAGUCAACAACUUUGCUUAUAUUCAUGCUCAGACAUCACCCGGUGCAUCAUACACUAUCAGUUGAAUAUGGAAAAAAAAUCAACUUACCUAAAUAAAAAGAAAAAGAAAAGAAAAGAAAUAGAUGAUUGCCACAUUAUAUGGGAAUUCAAAUUAUAAACUUAGGGAUCCCUAGAUAAAGAAAACAAAAAAGGGCAUAUGUUGCAAGAAUAGAGGCACAUACCUUGAUUGCCACAUAGUCACCAAGACUUUCAACAACUCAUAUGCAUCGCCAGGUAUUAUAGACGAAACAGCUGCCCUCAUCUGAUGGAGAAGAUAUAUAGAGAAAGAGUCAUAAGACAAACUGAAAUAGAAAAAACAAACACAUGAAACCAAAAAUACACCACUAGCAAUCUCUUUUCUAUUUCCGCAAAGAAACACACCUUCUUUGGAGGCAUAUUUUCUUCAAGACUGAUACCCUUAAAUUUUCUAGAAUUAAGCAUUGAAUUGGAUGUAAGAUCAUCUUUGUUAUCAAGCAACCCUAAUGAUCUCAGCUGCUCCUCCAAACAAGAAGUUUCAUUGGAAGCUUCAACUGAUUCCAAGCCAUCUGCAUGUACUAACAUAACAAAAAAAAUUGGACCAGGAAGAAGCAAAAUCCCUGAAGGGUAACUCCCUAACAGGAGUAGUUAAGUACAAAAAUAUUAUGACCAUAUACUUUGAGAACCUUUUCCACUAUACCAAAAGUUGAAGUCACAAUUCAAGUAGUUUUAACAGGAAGGGAAAUUCUGAAAGAGAAGUUUAUUGUUGAUUUGUGCACAUCUGAGUUUGUCAAGAAUUUGCUCAACUUAAACAAGAGUCUAACAUUGAGAUAUACACCAAAUAUUAAGAUAUCAAGAUAUUUACAAUGCCACCAACAACUCCAGACAGCUCAAGGAAAUUCAUUAGAUUGCACAAAAUUCAGGAUAUUAACUCAACACACAACCCUUCUGAAGACAUAAAAGUCCACACUGCUUCCAUCAACAAAAGCAGUGGAACAAACCCAUAAAACAUCAAUUACCAAACACAAAACAGGAUUUAUGAUCAUAUUUAUUAAAGAUGGCAUAUUCUUACAUCAAAAUCCAAGCCCAUUGCCAUCCUCAUCCUCUUGUCAAUAAAUAUUGUUAAUGGUGAACUGAAAAUCCAACUUUUCAAUGGGUAACUUGCUCUCUUGUUGAGUAGAGCAAAUAACCACAGGAAGGCAACUUUAUUUCAUGAAUAUGAGCCUUAAACAUGAGGUAGGAUUUAAAUUCAAAAUUCUGCCAACCACAUUCAGUUCAUUUAAUUUUACCUCCUCUCUGCUUCUUCCUCCAUCUUGAGGUCAAAAUCCAGCUUCCUAGUUCCAACUUCCAUUAGUGUUUCUUGAAUUUUCCUUUCCUCUACCAAAUGGCAGUAGAGUCUAUAUUGUGUCUCCAAGCAUAUGCAAAAGGAAAUACGGGAUAGACCAAAGUACCACAAGAACAUGUCAUUGCUUUUAGUGUGAGGAGAGAUCUAAAACCAAAUUUCCAUCAAAACCAUUUGAUUUAUGUAACCAUUCUUAUAGACAUCCUUCAGGAUGAUCAGGCUCAACAAACCAUCUUGAAGAAAAUAUUAAUGGUCAAGGAACCAUUGUAGGCCCCCAAUAAAAUGGAGAUUGCCCCAGUGAAAGCAACCAAUAAUUCAGUGACUCUACCAACAAAUUACAUAAGAGUUGUGUAGCUAAAAUUAGGAAACUGCUCUGGAAGAAAGUUAAGCGUACCUUUGCUUUCCACAGCCUUAUUUUGACUCCUGACAUUCAUCAAAUCAUCAGCCAUUAUCUCAUCGGGGUCAAUAUUUGAGUUUUGAUAUCUUUUAUUUUUUUCAUGAAAAUCAAAAAUCUUGGGGAUUGGAAGCAAGGCUUCUUCAGCAUUUGCACGGUCUAAAGCAGUAACUGUCAAAUAAUUAAACAAGUAUUUAGUGAUCCAUAUAAAAUGUAGAACAAAAAUUAAAAAUUUUCACAUGGGACUAUAGGGAUAAAUGUAAAAAUUUCCAUUUCUUUUUACCAUCCAUACAACAACUAUUUGAUAUUUCAAAAAAAAAUACGAAAACUUUCAGACUAACAAACCAUAAACAUCAAAUCAAGCCAAAAUUGUAAAGAGAAGACUUGGAGAACACUGAGAAAAACCAUUCCUGAGGACACAUGGAUGAAACAUUAUAAAAGACAAAAAAUAAAAUAAAAUAAAAAUUAAACAAUCAAAUGAUCUAAUUGUAUGCAUCAAAAUCAACUCUGGGAAAAUGUCGGUUGGGGGGACUUUCUUACGCGUGGAAAAAUGGAGCCCCGAAACGGGGUGUGUGAUGGAAGGGGAAGCUAGAAGCGAGGCUUGGGUGAGGAUAGUGGGGUUACCGGUCUCGUUAUGGGACUGGGACAUUCUGAGAAGAGUAGGGGAGGAAUGUGGGGGAUUCUUGGCAGUCGACACGCAAACGGAGAAGCUGGAGGAGUUGCAGUGGGCCCGGAUACUGGUGAAGGUAAACGGUGACGAGCUUCCUAAUGCGGUGGAAAUUUGGGUUGAUGAGAGGUGCUAUGUGCUAACCCUGUGGUGGGAAGUCAGACCGCUUCUGAGGAUUUUUCCGACUGAAAAAAGCGGGAAGAGAGCUGUGGUAGAUGUCGACAUUGGGGGUGAGGCAGAUACACGCGCGGGGAAGCGCGUGGUGGAGGAGGGUAACGACACGAGGCUCGAGGUCAUGAUUCAGUCUGCAGAUGGGAUGCAGAGUCAGACGUAUGGGUCAGGGCGUCCUAUGGGCUCUAUUCGGAGCCAUGAUGGGGUGUUGGGCCGGACCCGUGGAGGCAGGCCAUUGCUGGGUGGCUCCCCCAAGAAGGGCCCAGUUGAGGUCCCUCUCCCUAGUCUAGAAGUGGAUUUAGCUUUUGGUUCUUUUGGGCCGUGUCUUAAUGGGCUGUGCACAAGGAAGGAUUCUGGGCAGACCAAGGAUAAUGGAUUAAAUGAGGAGCCUGGGCUGGUAAGGGUUCAGCCCCAUUCAGUGCCAGUGGGCAAAGCCCAAGUGGGAGAGGCCACUUCUUCAAAGAGACUAGAUCCAAACUGCUUGGGAUGGCCAAAAUCAGAGUCUUCCAUUUUCUGGGAGAAGGAUGGCUUAAGAAAGCAAUUUGAAAUAGAAAUCCAAGUUGUGGAGAAAUCAAAGACUGAUCUUGCCCUAAUUGAGGAAGCUUCGAGGUAUGGGAAUGCUUUUAAUCUUAAAGGAGCAUUAGUCUCUGGAUUCUCUUCCCCUUUCUCUUUUUUUCAUGGUCGGACUCCUGAAAGGGAGUAUUACGACUAUUCUGGGACCGUGUGUGAGACCGUCCAGGGGGAAACGCCGUUAUGUAUGCUCAAUGCUUCGGGCUUCACGGAGGGUAAAACCGUUACUCAGUGGGAGCUGGUGGAGGCAAACAACGGUUGCAGUGAAGUAAGCAGAGCGGAAUUGAGACCAGAUCAAUCUAAGCCUCAAGAAGGUAGAGAUUGGGAGGAGGCCAGUUGGGAGGAGAGUGAUUUGGCUAGGUUCAGCAAUUUCUUGGGGUUCUCCACAGAGGGACUGGAGAAGGAUAUCAUGGACUUUCUGGUUAAAAUUAGAAAGAGAAGGGAAAGAAUCCAUAGUAAAUCUUUGUUGGAAAAAUCUAAAUUUGAGAGGGAGUUAAGAAGACUAGAGUGUUCUAUCAACUACGAAGGAGGGAAAAGACAGAUUGGUGGUAGGCAAGGAAGAGGGUGUCAAAUCUUAGAAGUCCUAUGAAGUUAAGACUAUUGAGUUGGAAUGUCCGUGGAGCUAAUGAUAGUUCCAAAAGGAAGGUGAUUAAGGCCCUGAUUAGAAGCCAGCGGGUGGAUGUGUUCUGCCUCCAAGAAACAAAAAUUCAAGCUAUGUCGGAGGGUGUGAUGAGAAGCUUGGGUAUGGGUAGGUUCCUAGGUUGGGGGGCCUUAGAAGUUUCAGGCUCUGCAGGAGGGAUUUUGGUAUGUUGGGAUAAAAGGACGUUGGAUGUGCUCGAUGUGGAGGUGGGCCAAUUCUCAAUUUCCUGUAGAGUCAGGAAUGUAGAAGAUGGUCUAAUUUGGAUGUUCACAGGAGUGUAUGGACCUUUCUCUAGAGAGGAAAGGGAUUGUUUGUGGGAGGAGCUAGGAGCGAUUAGAGGUCUUUGGGAUGUUCCUUGGUGCUUAGGGGGGGACUUCAAUAUUACCCUCUUUCAAGGGGAAAGAAGCAGGCAAGGAAGGAUUACUGGGGCGAUGAGAAGAUUCGCCCAGAUGGUGGACGAGCUUGAGCUGAUUGACCUUCCUUUGCAAGGGGGGAGGUGUACUUGGAAUGGGGGUAGGGAGAGUCAGUCGUGGGCUAGGCUCGACAGAUUCUUGGUGACCCAGAAUUGGCUUGAUCAUUUCAGUGGGGUGAUUCAGAGCAGGCUGCCAAGACCCACUUCAGACCACUUUCCCAUUUUGCUGGAGUGCGGAGGUCUUAGGAGGGGUCCCUCCCCGUUUAGGUUCGAAAAUAUGUGGCUUAAAGUUGUUGGGUUUAAGAACUUGCUUCGGGGGUGGUGGCAGGAGACUGUGGUGAGAGGGAAUGCCAGCUUCAGACUGGCCUCAAAGUUGAAGGAGUUGAAGAAGAAGAUCAAAGUGUGGAAUAGGGAUGUAUUUGGUCGGUUGGAAGUUAACAAAAACUUAGCUCUCCAUCAAGUAGAGCACUGGGAUGGGGUGGAAAAUGAGAGGAUCCUUUCAGAGAGGGAGACAGAGCUAAAGAAAGAAGCCAAGGAAACCUAUCAGAAGUGGGUGUUGCUGGAAGAACUCCAUUGGAGGCAACUGUCCAGGGAACUUUGGUUAAAGGAAGGGGAUAAGAACACAGGCUACUUCCAUCGAAUGGCAAACGCACACCAAAGAAAUAAUACAUUGGACAGAAUCAAGAUUAAUGGGGUAUGGCUGUCGGAGGAGCAGGAGGUGAAGGAGGGGAUUGUCAAUGCCUUUCAGCAGCUUCUCUCAGAAGAGUCAGGCUGGAAAGCUGACAUAGAGGGGUUGCAUCUAAGUCAUUUAAGUAGUCAAGAAGCUGGAAAUUUGGAGUUACCUUUCUCUGAAGAUGAAAUACAUUCUGCCUUGAUGGAUAUGGAUGGGGACAAAGCCCCAGGCCCGGAUGGGUUUACAGUAGCUUUUUGGCAAGAAUGCUGGGACUUUGUGAAGGAGGAGAUCCUGGAGUUAUUCAAGGAAUUUUAUGACCAAAGAUCUUUUGCAAAGAGCUUGAAUACAACGUUUCUGGUUCUUAUUCCAAAGAAAGGAGGCGCCGAGGAUUUGGGUGACUUUAGGCCGAUCAGCCUAUUAGGGGGAUUGUACAAGCUUUUGGCUAAGGUGUUGGCAAAUAGGCUGAAGAAGGUCCUAGGAAGGGUGGUUUCCUUGGACCAAAAUGCGUUUGUGAAGGGGAGACAAAUAUUGGACGCUUCGCUUAUAGCUAACGAGGUGAUUGAUACUUGGCAAAAACGCAAGGAGAAAGGGUUGAUUUGUAAACUGGACAUUGAAAAAGCCUAUGACAGCAUAAAUUGGGAUUUUCUUAUGAAGAUUCUGUGUAAAUUGGGCUUUGGGUCUAGGUGGAUGGAGUGGAUCUGGUGGUGCAUUUCAACUGCCAAAUUCUCUGUUCUUGUUAAUGGAGUGCCAACAGGCUUCUUUUCAAGCACCAAGGGGUUGCGUCAGGGAGACCCCCUUUCUCCUUACCUUUUUGUCUUGGGUAUGGAAGUGCUUAGUGCACUUUUAAGAAGGGCUGCUGUCGGGGGUUUCUUUUCAGGCUGCAGAUUUUGGGGGAGGAGCAGGAUGGAGUUAAAUGUCUCUCAUUUGCUUUUUGCGGAUGACACAAUUAUUUUUUGUGAAGCAAGGAAAGAAAACAUGACUUUUCUAAGCUGGAUUCUGGCUUGGUUCGAGGCUGCGUCUGGGUUAAGGAUAAAUUUAGCCAAAAGUGAGUUAAUUCCAGUUGGCGAGGUGGAAGAGAUUGAGGAGAUGGCCGUGGAGCUAGGUUGUAGGGUGGGGUAUUUGCCCAAUGUGUAUUUGGGGCUGCCGUUAAGGGCUUCCCACAAGGCUUCCUCGAUGUGGGAUGGGGUGGAGGAGAAAAUGAGGAGAAGAUUAGCCUUGUGGAAAAGGCAAUAUAUUUCCAAAGACGGGAGGGUUACCCUCAUUAAGAGCACACUGGCCAGCAUGCCAAUUUACCAAUUGUCCCUCUUUCGAAUGCCCAAGAUGGUGGCAAGAAGGCUCGAAAAGCUACAAAGAGACUUCCUUUGGGGAGGGGGAAGCUUGGAAAGGAAAGUUCACUUAAUUAAUUGGGAGGUGGUGUGUGCUCAAAAGGAGAAGGGGGGUCUUGGCAUUAGGAGGAUUGCCCUUUUGAAUAAGGUUUUGCUGGGAAAAUGGUUAUGGAGGUUUGCCUUUGAAAAGGAUAAGCUUUGGAAGAAGGUGAUUAUGGAGAAGUUUGGUCAAGAGGGCCUUGGUUGGAGGACUAAUGAGGCUCGUGGGACGUUUGGAGUGGGAGUUUGGAAGGAGAUUCUGAAGGAGGCUGAUUGGUGUUGGGAUAACAUAGAGUUCAAGGUGGGUAAAGGGACCAAAGUUAGGUUCUGGACUGACCAUUGGUGCGGCAAUGCAGCGCUGUCUCAAAUUUUCCCCCUUUUAUUCGAAUUGGCAGCUCAUAGGAAUGCAACGGUUAAUGAAGUUUGGGACCCUAAUUUUGGCCAAGGAAGUUGGAACAUCAGUUUCUCUAGAGACUUUAAUGAUUGGGAGGUGGAUUUGGUAGGUAAUUUGCUGUCUAUGCUAAGGGACUACAAAAUUUCUUCAGAGGAGGAUUCGGUUUUCUGGAAAGGUGGGGGAAGUGGCAUUUUUAGGGUUAAGGAGGCUUACAAUCUGCUUGUUGAUUCAAAUGAUAUUGUAUUUCCGAAAAAGUGCAUUUGGGUGGACAAGGUCCCAACUAAAGUUGUGUUUUUUGCUUGGGAGGUCACGUGGGGGAAGGUUCUAACCCUGGAUAGGCUUCAAAAUAAGGGGGUGGCAGCUCCCUAACCGAUGUUUUUUGUGUGGGUGUGAAGAAGAAACUGUAAAUCACAUUCUUCUACAUUGUACAGUGAUCCGGGUUCUUUGGGAGAUUGUCCUAGUCUUGUUUGGCAUUCAGUGGGUGUUUCCAUAAACGAUUAAAGAUAUGCUUUUCAGUUGGAGGGGUUCUUUUGUGGGGAAAAAAAGGAAAAAGACUUGGAUUUCCAUCCCGUUGUGUAUUUUUUGGACGGUUUGGAAGGAAAAGAAUAGAUUAGCUUUUAGGGGGGGAUUCUUAUCUAUACAGAAACUCAAAAAUUCUUUUGUAUGUAAUCUGUGGAGUUGGGCUAGGGUGUAUAUUGGAGAGGAGUCCUCUUCACUCUUAGGUUUUCUAGAGUGGCUAGCGUCCACUUGAGGGUAGGUGUGGUUGUGGGCUUCUUCUGGUUUUUGGGUUUGGCUGCUUUGUAUACGUCCUGUAUGCUGUGUGGCUUUUUGCCUUUUUAAUCUAAUAUCUGCUUACUUAUCAAAAAAAAAAAAAUCAAACAAAUACUAAAAAUAAGAAGAUUUCACAGGAGUUGAUGGCUCCCACCUAAAGAAUCUCCAUGCCAAAGAUUAAGAUUGCCCUUUUUCACCCAUCUUUGAUAUUUUUAUGGAACCAUAAAAGAUAAGGAAAAUGGUCAAAGAAAUGGGCAGCAAGAGACCACUACCAUCCAGGUGUAUCAAGUUUGAUCAGAAGCAAAUCAUUUUUGUAUAAAACCUAGUUUAUUCUAUGAAAGAAAAACUUCAUUGUAAAUAAAAUAUGAAUUUCCAAAACUUUUGUACAGGUUUCUAAGACAUUAGGAUCCAUACUGUAGUGUUCAACUAAUUAAAACAGAGUCAAUAGUAAAAAUUUUGAUCAAGCCUUACCUCCAUCUUUCACACCAAGCCCUUUCUUAGAUUUAUGAGACUGGUCCAUUGGUAGAAGGAUACCAUCCUGGGAGAUGUUUAUCUUGAUGUCUGUGCCAGAAUGCACUAUGACUUUCUGAAAUGACGGCUUUACUAGUGAACCAUAGGCAACAAAUACAUCACCUGAUGCAGGUUUGACAACACCUUGUAAUUUCGCAGCAAAUAUUGUAGGCAAUGAACCCUUGUGAUUCUUAGAGAAGUUGUCUUCAAGAGAUACUGAAACUUUUGUGGGCUUUGUAUUACGUAAGUCCUCCAUAUUCUUUGCAUACCAAAAAUAACAAACACCAAUUUCAGAAAUAGCCAAGACAUAUAAGCCUGACUUAUCUGUAUCCCCAUUGUCAAUGCACCUGCUAUCUAGGAAGACAGCAGGGUGCUCCAUUGCAAGAACACAGCUGGCUGACUGUUUUUUGCUACCAUCAAUUCUCCAAACUGCAAUAUAUCUCUCACCAAUAGCAGAUGAUAGGAUGUACUCCCCAUCAUCAGUAAAGAUCAUACAGCGAACAGCUCCCUGUUAAUGAGUGAAGAGAUAAUUUACUCAACUAUGAACAGAAAAUAAAAAAGAUAACCAGUUUACUCCACACAUCAGGUUGAUUGUUUUGAAUGAGAUGAAAUAGGAGUAAACUUGAUAAGAAAUAUAAAAACUGAAUAGGACUCACAGGAUGACCAGAAAACUUCUGUAUCUUCUUGUGAUCAGAAGAAUUGAGGAUCUUUAAUUGAGCAGCUGCAGUCGCCAAUACCUUUCCAUCUGAGGUGGACAAAUUCCCAUCCAAGUGGCAUUAUCAUAAAAAGAAGAGUAAUCAGCAUACUGAAAAAUCUUGCAUUCUGGUUUCCAGCAUAGACAAUUUCCUGUCUUCCCAGUGGCUUUUAAUGCUUUAUUCUUGUAAUAUUAGUAAAUUGUCCAUUUUGUGUAUUCAUUUAAUAGUAACCAUAGAGCCAUCUUCAAGACAUGAGCUCCAUCAUUCCACAUGACAUUCUUCAUAAAAUUUUUUUUUUUUUUUUAUCAGUGACAUUCUUCAUAAAAUAUUUAAUUCAGUUGACAAUCAAACACUAAUUUACCAUCGAAUAAUGUGUUUGCUUCUACAUAAAAUAAAGCAACAGCAACUCAAAAGCUAAGGGCAAAGACCUGACGAAACAGACAUAGAUGAUAUUGCCUUUGUAGAAGCUCUAAACUUCCCCAAUAGGUUUCCUGCACUGGAAUCGAUUUUGGAAAUCAUCCCAUCAGCUCCAGCAGCAUAAAUGCAUGAACCAUCAGUAGAACAUGAAAUAGCACUAACACCCCUGCACAUUGUAGAAGCAAAUCCGGUUGAUCAGGCAUUCCAAGUGUAAAUGCUGUGUUUUAACAUUAUGAAUAUUCAGCCCGCAUCAUCCAUUUAAUUAAUAGAGUUUGUCCAUUAAAUUCUCAGAGUGAGAGAGAGAGCGAGAGAGAGAGACCAGCAUGCUACAAAUGGCAUUCCAUCACCUAAAACACAAUAAACUUUUUUGGUCUCACCAUCCGGUCACAGCAAUAUAAUUUGAAUUGAAUAGUAAUGGCUUAACUCAAUUCCUCAUUUUCUACCAUGUCUUCUAUGUACUUUAGACAGAAAAUGUGCAUUAGUAUAUCACAUCACUGUAUCUAAUUUAAGAAUCAAUCAUAAGAAGGAAUUUGAUGCAAUUCAAAUUGCAGAUAAAUAAAUGAGAUUAUAGAUAUUAGAAGAACAAAAAAGUUUUGAAAAACAAGGUUCAUCCUUUGGUCCUAAUAAUACUUGCUAUUUUUUUUUUUUAUAAGUAAACACAAAAAAUAUAUAUAUAUUAGAAGAAAGGGCGCCUUAAGGUUGACCCAAAGCAUACAGGGGCAUACAAGAGGCGCCAAAAAGCAAAAACAAAAAGAAGAGGAGAUACAAAAUAUUACCAGUCCUCAUCUAGAACCCAACCAAUCAAAAAGGUUGAUUAAAGGAAGAGGUCCUUCAUCUAUAAUCAACUUAGUCCAAAACCAAAAAUUACAUACAAAAGAAUUUUUCAUCCUAUGAAUUGAAAGCUCCUCAUUUUCAAAAGCAAUUAUAUUUCUUUCCUUCCAAACCACCCAAAAAAGACAUAAGGGGGCUGUCAUCCGCACCUUACUACGCUUCUUGCCCAUGUUGAUACCAUGUCAACCAAGAAGGGUAUCUCUAACCAAAUAAGGAAGCACCCACAUCACUCCAAAAAGAGCAAACAAUAACUCCCAUAAAAUUCUUGCCUUGGUGCAAUGAAUUAGAAUAUGAUCAAUAAACUUUUCUUCCGCACAACAAAGGAAGCAUCUAUUAGCUAAAGUCCACCCCCUCUUUUUAAGUUGAUCCAAAGUUAACACCUUACCCCAAGAGGCUUCCCAAGCAAAAAAAACCACUUUAGUAGGAACACAAGGGCUCCAAAUGAUGUUCUUUGAAAACUGAAUAGCACUUCUUGAAUCUAGAGCACUAUAAAGAGAUUUUACAAAAAAAAAUCUCGUCCUUAGUCUCUUUCCACAGCACCCUAUCUUCCAAAUUAGGAUUAAGCCACCUUCUUUGUAUUGUCACUAGUAACUUCCCCACCUCCUCCACUUCCCAAUCAUUGAAAGGCCUAGAGAACCUAGGACUCCAACAGUCCAACCCCCUUCCACGCUCGUUGAGUCCCACAACUCCACUAACCAAGCCUCUUUAGAAGUUGUUAAGGCAUACAAAGAGGAUAAAGAAUCACAAAGAGCAAUGUUCUUGCACCAUUUGUCUUUCCAAAAUUUCACUCUUCUACCAUCCCCCACAAAAAAUACAACUUUGUUUUGCAAAAGAGACUCUUCCUUCUUGAUUUCCUUUCAAAAUCCCACACUAAACCCUUCCCUCACAUCCCUAGUACACCACCCUCCUUCUUCCUCCCCAAACUUCCUACUAACCAAGCCUCCUAAUAAUACUUGCUAUAUUGCAUUAAUUAGAAGGAAUCAAGGGUUAAUUAAGUAUGAAGCAUGAAAUUGUCUAGGAAAUUUGUGUCAAGAUAUGUUAGAAUGAAAGAAAGUUUGAAUAUUGCUCCACAGUAGGAUUGGUUUUUAUUCAUGGCAUAGGAUUUUUUUUCUUAGGCUAGGAUGGAUUGGGUUCAACUAGGCAAUAUUUACAAUAUGAUGAUGAUUUCCUUCAAGUGUUUUAGAAAUUCUAUCAAAGACAGGACUCUUUGGAGGAUAGCAUGUCUCUCCUUGUUGUGGAUUGUGAGGAGAGAGAGGAAUGCUAGGAUUUUCAAGGGUACUUUGAGGACGCCGGAGAUUAUGUGGGAUUCGCUUCAGUUCUAUGUUUCCUUUUGGGCUUAUUGUACAGACAUUUUUAAACCGUAUCCUUUGAGUGUAAUUCAACUUAGUUGGCUGUCGAUUUGAACACCCUAGGGUUGGGUCUACAAGUUCUAGGUUUGUCAUAUGUGUAUAAGCCUUUUGUCCUUUUUGUAUAGUCUUCCUUGUUUAGUAGAGGUUUACUCAGUUUUUGGUUAGGUUUGUACAUCAUGGGGAGGACUUAUCAUCCUUCUCAUGUUUUUCUCUUUUAAUACAAUUGUUUGCCUCUGUUCAAAAAAAAAUAUUGCUCCAACAGUCAGGUCUGGGAAUCAAGCCCUUCAGGAAGCUAUAAGAGGGAUAAAUACCGCAUCCAAACUCAAGUUAACUAACUGAAAGAAAACUCUAGCAACUUACAAAAAAUGUACCUUUACAUUUAAAAAUAAUGAAAAGAAAGAAAGCUGUUAGCAAGGAACUCACCCAGGAUGGCAGUCACCAAUUCUCCACUUCAACUCACCAGCAGAUACAUCAAGUGCUAAAACAUCACCGCUGCCUGUUCCUAGCACUAAUAAUGAACAUCGAAGCUUCCUUUUUUUCUGCCAAUCAUUAACAGAUGACAAAAUAAAGAUAUAGGUUACCAAUCCAAAAAUGUAAUGGCAAAGCAAUUCUUCAAUUAAAUUUUAAUUAAAACAACUAAACAAGGACCUUGCUGUCCAGAGACAACCACUUCAAGCAAGUAUAAUCAACUGAAAGGUGCCCUCUUUCAGGUUUGCUGUAUAAAUUAGUUGUGUCUGUUGAUAUGAUGUCUGCAAAUUCAGUCUGAACCUGACCCUUCAAAGUAUCCCAAAUCUGAACAGAGAAAAAAGUAAAAUUAUAAUCUACAUGAACCACUAAACAAACCACAGGUAACAACCUGUUUCCUCUUUCAACAAAUAUCCCUAUCAAUAUACUUAAACAUUCAUAUAUACAUUAAAAACUAAUAUAGAUUUUCAGAAAUAGCUUACCAACCGGAAGAGGGUUCAAACAAUAAACAAAGACAAAACAAUUCUAGCACUGAUCAUUAAAGAUCCAAAAGUAUAUCAAAUUUAGUAAAAAGAAACAGACCAAAACCUACAAAAUUAUUGUUAAACAAGUGAAAAACAAAACAUUAAAUUAUCUAUUAUCACUCUUGGAGACUGACAGUAUGAAAAUAAGUUCAAAUGCCUCAGAUUCCUUCAUCUCCAUUCUUAAUUCCUAGCCUCUUCAACAACCAAGUUUCAAGUACCUUAAUUCGUCCAUCUCCAGAACUGAUAGCAAAGAAGUCCAAAGAAGGGCUAAAGGUUGUUAAUAAAUCUCGGAUAUUCGAUGGGCCCAUGGUCCUGUAUCAAAAGAAUAAAUUAAAUGUCAAAGUCCUUACAAUUCAUAAUUUACAAAUUAGAAAUGAAAUUGUAGAUAUACGAGAGGUGUUCCAAGACGUUAUUAAGGGAGAUUGACUGUAACUGCCUAUUGAUAAAGAAACAAAACAACUUACCAUGACGAAAAUAAUAUAGCUCAAAAUCACAGUAGGAAGUGCCAAAAAAAGGUGGCAAUCCUAUGAAACAUAUGAUGAAGAAGAGAUAAAAAAAAUGUAUAAGAAAGUCACAGCAUUAAAAAUUUUAAAGCUCGCCAAUAUGUUGCCAAUCCAGUAAAUCAUUUCAUUAACUAAACUGAUUCAGCACUCAAGCUCUAAUAACCUUCGUUUGGUAGCGGAGAAAAUGGAAGAGAAGGAGGAAAAAAAUGCAAUAUCAUGCUAUCUGUUACUGAAUCAAGCCAAACAAUUCAGUUAAACUUGGCUAAACAGCAGUUUUAGCUUUCUCAGCCUGAGUAACGAAAAUUCAAGAUUUUAUCUCUUUUACUUUCCUGCAUUUUCUCAGCUUCCCGGUUUGUCUACGGACAAACUAGAGGAAAAUAAAAAGAAACUAAAACCAAAAACCAGGUAUUUUCAGUUGUUCUCCAUAAAAAGCAAACGAAAAAUCAACAGAACUAAAUCCUGAGAAAUUACCGAUCCGGAUCAGGCUGAAUUUCCGGUUCUCUUAGAAAAUCUUAUAUAGCAGUUCCAAUAAGGGACCGUCGUGCAUCAUCAUACUAAUUUUCCUCCGUUUUUCAGCAACCAAACAGAGGAUAAACUUGUUUUGAGGAGAUGAUGCACGCUUACCUGUUUUGGCGACCGGCGGCGGCGAGAAGCAAAGAAAAAGAGAGAACGAGAGAGGGGUUUUACCUGUUUUGGCGACCGGCAGCGGCGAGAAGCAAAGAAAAAGAGAGAACGAGAGUGGGGUUUUAGGAACGCAGCCGCGUAGCUGCUCUUUUCACAAGGGCCCCUUUUUUUUUCUUUUUCUUUUUUUCUUUUUUUUUUUUCAAUUUUAGGAUUUUUCAUUUUAGCCUCCAUAUUUGAGUGUAUUUAGAUUUGUGGAACCUGUUUUGGGGCUUUUUGUUAGGUACAAUUGAGAUGGGCUGAACCAAAAAGCCCGCCAGGAUGAACAACAUUAAUGGGCCUGAAUUUUAAACCUGUGGAUGGGCUUUGUACUGGAUUCAGCUGUCUGAGCCCAAUGAGUGUUGAAUGUGUUUCUAUAUAAAAUUAAAUUUUUAACAUUGAAAUAUAAGGACUUACUUAAAAACACAUUUGGUAACUCUAUUUUUUUUGGUUAAUAAUGGACUUUAAGAAAAAUAUAUUAUUUUUUAGAAUAAAUUUGAGGCAUGUUUAGGUAUUUUUUGUGGUAAAGAGUUUUGAGAAACAAUGGGAAANNNNNNNNNNNNNNNNNNNNNNNNNNNNNNNNNNNNNNNNNNNNNNNNNNNNNNNNNNNNNNNNNNNNNNNNNNNNNNNNNNNNNNNNNNNNNNNNNNNNUACUUACACGAGGCUUUCAUGAAAAAUAAAUCAAUAAAAACAAUUUUCAUAUUUGAAUUUUGAAACAUAAAACAACUCAGAACUGUUUUUAAAAAUUGUUCUUAAAAAUAGUUUUUUAUUAAGUCACCUUCAAGGAAGCUUUUAUCUUUUAUUUUUCUAUGUUUCAUCCUUGCAUAAAGGGAGUAUAAAGACGUAAGUUAAUCUAAUUAACAAAUAUAGAUAAUCAUCCGAUAAAUGAGUAAAUUAGGUGAUGAUCUCUUUAUAUAUGCAAGUAAUGAAUGUGAUGAAAAAUGAAAAAAAAAUAAGGGGAGAGAUGUUGUAAAUAAAGCGUUUUUAUUGUGGUUCAACUACCUAUCCACUUCCACACCUUGAUAGAUUUCACAAUUUUAAAAGUUUUCUUAAUCAUUAUUCUCCUUAUUAUUCUUUAAGUUUGGAUUUCUUAAGUUUCAAUAGACUUUUACAAUCACUAAGGUGGUGUUUGUUUUUCACUUACUUCCAAAUAUAAGUUAAAACUAAAUAAUACUUAAUAAUAUCAAGUAUUAGGUUGUUUUUUUUUAUAACAUUUUAUUUCUAUAUAAUAUUAAAAAGUAAAGAAAAAUCAAUAUAUUAUUUUUUUCAUUAAAAAAAAGUCAAAUAUUUUGAUUUUUUUAAGCUAAAAAUUUAUAAUAAAAAAUAAAAAAUAAAAAUAAAAACAAAUAAACAAACAACUUAAAGUGUAAAAACAGAUUGUUUUCAACAAAAAUUUAAAAAAACAAACACCUUUUAAAUAAGAUUCCUUAACCACUCGUACAAUAGAUCCUUUAAACACAAAAUGUAAUGAAUGAAUACAACUCUGGUGAAAUGACUAAAGUGCUCACAAUGAAAAGAUAAACAAGUUUGGAUUCAAUAUAAUUUUGGGUUAUCUAAUUAAAAGGGUCAUUAAAAACCCAAUUUUGGAAAUAUAACCUUUCAUCAAUUUUUUACCUCAUUUUAACAAAAAUGCUCUUAUUAUUUUCUUAUAAAAAUAAUCAUUUCUUUUAAACCACACUAUAAAUAUUUCAAAUAGUCAAGGGCUUUUAUGUAAAAAAAAAAUGAAUUACUCUUCAAAUAAAAAUAUUGGAGGGAAUAAAUUCACAAAUAUGGGGUAUUUCAUCCCUUUUAACUAAUUAUUUCUAUAAUUUUAAGAGUUUAAGAAGGCUAGACAAAGACUAAUUAUUAGACACAUUUUGUAAAAACACUAAUUAUUAGACACAUUUUUCGCUCGACACUUUUUUUUUUUAUAAUCAAUGGAAGAUAGGAAUACAAUCUACUACUUUGGUCAAUUAAGCAAUCAUACAAUUGACUACAACCUAGUCAUUAGACAUUUUUUUUUUUAUAAUAAUUAAAAGACAUAAAUACAAUCGAUUACUUUGGUCAAUUAAUCAAUUAUUCAAGAAAUUUAGAAAAAUAUUGGAUAAAAGAUAUAUAUAACGGAUUAUUUCAAAUUGAAACUUAAGAUCAAAAAUCUUGCUUAUAAUGUUGAAAAAUCUUGUAAAACACAAGUUUUUAUCUUUGAAGUAAUCAAUUUCAUUUUUCACAAAAAAAUCAUUAAUAAUACAUGAAUGAAUUCUUUUAAAAAAUCUUAUAAAAAAUGUGAUUAUUUUUCAUUCCCAAAUACUUAGGUUCUAAAGGUCAAUUUUAAAGCAUACUUAUCCUUACUAUGCCUUACAAGAAAAACUAUUCUAUACAUAUGAUCUUGUAAAAAAGUGUAAAUAAAAAAAUAAUAAAAAGAAAAAAGAAAAAAAAAACCUCCCUUGUUUUCCUCUUUUGACCGGAUAUCAUUAUCAUACUUAAAAUUAAAUAUUUAAUCAAAAUAUUAUUUUACUAUCAUCAAAAUUUAGAUUUAACCAAACUUUAGGCUAGUAUGUUGAUAUGACAAGUUAAUUUUCUAUCUUAAAGUUUUAAAAACUUUUGAAAUUAAACAUUUUCUUACACAUUUAUUUUUAAAGUUUUUAGCAUAAAAUUUAAAAUUGAAGCUUUUAAAGGAAAACCUCAUAAUAUAAUAUACUAGAGAGACAUGGUCAAACAAAUAGAGACGAAGCCUCAAAAGGAAGGGGCAAUGGUUGAACCACUUGACAUUGUUGCCUACUACUAAGAUGGUGUAAGAAACAACAUAACCAAUGGAACAUAUGCACAUUAAACAUAGUACAAUUAUUAUAAAUGUCUUAUACAUUAUGUGUGAAAAUACGAAAUAAAUAAAUAAAAUUAUAUUCAACAUUUAUAUUUGUAUACAAACAAUAUUUUCCGAUAGUUUGAUAUAAAAAAACAAAUAAAAAAAAAUGAAGAAAAACAUAUAAAUAUAUUUUCAAUGGACAAACUUAUUCAAUUAGUAUAAAUAUCUUGUAUAUUUAAUACAUAUACCUUAUACUUUGUGAAAAUGCAAAAAUAUAGUAUUUGAUAUUUAUACAUGUGGGUAAGUAAUUUUUCUAAUGGUUUGAUUUAAAAAACAAAUAAUGAUAAUCAAGAAAAACAUGCAAAUAAAUUAGUGUGAAUGAUAAAGGGUGUUUUUUACCAUAAAUUUUCAUGGGCUUAGCAUCAAUUAUGCAUCUAUAGAUGUUAACCCAAUUAGCAUAAUGUGAAAACCCUUACACACAAUAUAUAAACCCUAUACUUGAAUUAGGAAGGACAAAAAAAAAAAAUAGUUAGAGCAUUUGGUACCAUCAAUGAUGACUUCACCUAAAAAAAAGGUUAAUGAACAUUAUGUUUUCACUGGAAGAGCAACUCUGGUAGGACAUAUGAAGUAAAUCAAUGCUCUUUUUUUAACGACGAAGUAGCGAAGUCAAGAUAAUAAGGUUUUACUAACAACAUUAAAGACACGAAUUCCCCAAUAUACUCCAAUUCAUAUUCAAUUGACAGAGCAAACCCAAGUCAACACAUAAGAUUGAUUAUUACUUGUGAUAAUUGAAACCCUAAUUAAAUAAUUAAUGACACAAAUAUAUACAUAAAAAAUAGGGACAUUUGUAUUUUGGACCUCAGGUGAGUCCAAAAAUUAAGGUUUGGUUAAUAUAACUUACAUAAUUGACGAAAAUGAUAUAAGUUAUCAAAAGACCAAAAUACUCAUUGACAUUUCACGUAAGCUUUUUUGGUCUUUAUUGCACCACUAUUCAUGCAACCAUAAUAAUUAUAUUUUAACCAUUUAGAUUUUUCAUUGUUUUUUAAAACUUUUUUUUAUAAAUAAUUGAAAAUUAGCAUUAUUUUCUAUUUUAAAUUAUAAAUAAAGAAAAAUUACGUUCAAAAACUAUUUUAAAAAAUGCUUUCUAAAAAAAUGGUAAUAUGAUUUUAUAUUUUUUAUAUUUUCUUUUAGAAAAAAAAUUUUAAUUAAAAAAUGAAAAAUAAUAAAAAUUGAAAACCUUGUUUAGUACUAUUUUUUAUAUGAAAAUAAUAAAAAGAAUUAAAUUUCAUUCAUUAAUUAUCCAUUAAAUUUUAUAUGAAAAAUUUUUAUAAGAGUAAAAAGAUUCAAUAUCUUUAAAAAAAAACAAAACAAAACAAAAAGUUAAAAAUGAGUAAUACUUAAUUGGGAAUAGAAAAGGGGAAAAAAUACAAAAAAAAAAAUUGAAAUUUACACUCACUAUGUGCCAGGCAGGGAUUAAGGUAGUUUAGGGAUUAAUGAAAGAUAAUAUCAUUUAACUUAAUUUUUACACUUUAUUUGGGUUUUGGGCUUAAAUGUGCAUAAUAUAUGAAUCUUUGGUCAAUUUUUGGGCCCAACUAGGCCCAAAACACAAUUCUCUCUAAAAAAAUAUUUAUUAAAUAAAUAAACUAAUAAAAAUCAUUUAAAGAGUUUCAUAACUUAGUGUGGAAGCUAUUAUAAGAAAAAAGUAUUAUAUAAUAUAGAGUCUAGUUUCAAAGUUUAAAUUUAAGUCUUAAGACAAAUUCACAUUCAAAACUAGGUUUUUAAGUUUGAAAAAUAGAUCUCUUAAACCAAUUAAACGGUAAAAAAAAAAAUUAAAAAGAAAAUUUCUCUAGCUGGUUUCUUCAUCUUGAAAACUAACGGAAAUAUAUAUCAAUAUUUGAUAUGAAAAUUCGUAACCUUAGAAACACAGAACAAAGAGAGUCUGAAGAGACUAUACCAUGAGAGCUUUUCCGAAAGGUUGGUAAAACAUCGUAAUCACCUUUGAGUCUUGCUGAGAAAACAAAGCUUAUUUGCUCGUAGACCAUCGUAGUGGUCGUCAUACCGUGUGAGGACCGGGGAAGCAUCUUUGCUCGUAGACCGGCUUUUGUAGUCUUUCUUUAACAAUUACAAGUUGUCAGGAUUCCCUUCAUCCUCCCAAAUAAUAUUGUUUUUGGUCUUGUUCUGGUUGCAUCUCCGUGGAAGGAAAGAAGAUGAAUCAAGUUCCUUUGUAAGUAUCAAUGUCUCUGAUUCAUUUUUUGGUUCCUAGAAUCGAAUCCUCGCUCUGUUCUUGCUUAAUUUCUCCUUUUUCUGUUGGGUCUUUCACUGCAGGUUUAGCUCUGCACGGGAACUGGCAAAUUUGGUGCUGAGCUCCAAUCUAAUCGACUGUGCUUUCACCAAAAUUCUUGAACUUAAGAGAGGCCAAACAGCCUUGCCUGUUCAAUACAGACUUUAUCAACUGUCUUCCAAGUGCACAAUUGUAGCUUUUGUCUCUUCACCUGACUGCACUCAAUACCCUCUUCCUGGACAAGGAGAUUUAGAUCGGUCUCCUCUCUUUGACUUCCUCCGUACCGAAGAAUACCCGUCCGUCUCCAUUAACAGAGCAGCAUUAGCCCUCUUUACCCCUCUCCAUGAUCAUCUCUCUGGACUAACAGAUGAGGUCAAAAUCUGAUACUUGUUUGAAUUUUCGUUUCCUUUUCGUUAACAAUUGUGAGACACGAAACAGCUUGACCAUGAGAUCUCCCUCAUGGAGUCGAACUACCUGAAGGAUAAGACGUCACACAUAUCCAUUUUCAUGGCAUCGUCACAUGACCCAUUGAUCGGUUGUGAUUCAACUCUUAAUAGGAACACAGUAGAACUGGUGUUGGUAUCUGUCUUUAGAUCAGCUUGCAUAUAUCUUGUCACUGAAAAAGGAAUGUUCAGAAGUGAGAUUAGUGGCAUUAUUCUGACAUGGAUUUCAUAUGGUUACUUGUUUUGCAGUUGACUCAGAUUGAAGGUCAGUUAAUCAUCACUGGGCACUCCCUGGGAGGAUCCGUUGCUUCUCUCUUCACCUUACGCCUGCUAGAUGGCAAUUUAUUAAAACCCAAAUGCCGCCCCUUUUGUAUCACCUUUGGUUCACCCCUUAUAGGCGACUUUGGCCUCCAACACUCCAUAUGGAAUUCUUUCUUCCUGCAUGUAGUGUCUAACCAAGACCCAGUCCCCGGACUCUUCCUCCCAUCCGGCAGAUCUCCGCUCACAUCCUCCCAUUCACAAACUACCGGUUACAAGCCCUUUGGGACAUAUCUCUUGUGCUCUGAACUUGGUUGUGCUUGUUUUGACAACCCUGAUUUAAUUUUGGGAUUGCUUAAAGUCAUAUCAUCAGAGGUUGCCGGAGGAUUGCAGGAUGUUGACUAUGGGGAGAUUUUAAGAAACCUCAAGGAGAGGGCAAUCUGCAAGGGACUGCCGCAGGUGGGUGAACGGUUUGCAGAUCCAUUUUCAGCUGGGAUCAUCAUGGAACUUGAGACAAUUGGAUUUAAUCAAACAAAGGUAAACAGCUUUCUCCCAUCUAAUGAUGUUAUGAAACAUGGUUUACACUACACCAAAUACUGCAAUAACUUCCCUAUUCAGAUUUAUCUUCUUGUUCUUUGGGAUCUUCCAUAACUCGUCUCAUUUUUAAAAUUCAUGGCAGCUGCUGCAGCAUAACAUUGAUAUCAAUGCUAUGAUAAGAACAAUGGAAGCGGAAACCAGAAGACUAAUCCAGAAAAAUAAAGUUUCCGAUGCCAAGAAACUGAAUGACAUAAAAAGAGACAUGGCCCAGCUAGAAUGGUAUAAGAAGAAAUCGGAAAUGGGUUACUACGAUUGCUUCAAAAACCAGGGGUCUAAAAGGGACCUCAACGUUGAACAGUUUAGGGGAAACCUCACAAUGUACUGGGAAGACAUGGUUGCACAAGUACAGAGGAAGCCCCAGGAGGAAGGAGCAACAUUUCGAACCCGUUGGUUCUAUGCAGGGACAGUUUAUAGGAGAAUGGUUGAACCACUGGACAUUGCUGCCUUCUAUAGAGAGGGUGGAACAGACUACAUAAACAAUGGAAGAUCUCUUCAUUACAAGCUGUUGCAGCAAUGGUAUGAAGAAGAUGUGAAACCCCCCUCUAGAGAUAAGCUUGAUUCCAAGAAGCAAAAGGUGUCUGGUAUCCUAACUGAGGAUUCUUUGUUUUGGGCACAUGUGGAGGAGGCCAUCUUGUCAUGCGAAUUGCUCAAGAGUAAAAACUGUACUCUUGAGCAGGGAAAAUCAUCAUGGGAUAAUCUAGUUAAGUUCGAGGAGUAUGUAAUGGAACAGAUUAACAACUAUGCAGCGUCCCCUGAGAUUUUCUUGCGGGAAAGCAGCUUCAUGAAAUGGUGGGGACUGUAUGAGGGCUACAUAGAUACUUGCAGUAAUUCCCAUGGGUCGCAAUUGAUCAACUUCAUGAAGAAACGUAGCUAUAUGAAGUAUGGUUAGAGGGGCAAUCCAGUUUGUGUGUUGUGUUUAUUGUUUUGUGAGCGUUCAAUGGAUAAAACUAGAAAGAGUGUGACCUUUUUCCCUUUUUCUUGGUUGCUGCCCAUAUUCUCAGCACUAUUUUCUUCCUUCUUUUCCUCUGUUUUUUUUGAUAGGAAAUGAAUAUUAUGAUGUUGCUGGGAUGCACUUNNNNNNNNNNNNNNNNNNNNNNNNNNNNNNNNNNNNNNNNNNNNNNNNNNNNNNNNNNNNNNNNNNNNNNNNNNNNNNNNNNNNNNNNNNNNNNNNNNNNAGGGGAAGAAAAACAUGUUUGUUUAGAUUCAACUCCACCAAAACUUGCAACAACUUCCCAUUGAAAAUUUCCUUUUAAGCUUCUGACUGACAUAAAACUAGAUAUGUUCCAGCUAGAACGGUACAAGAAAGAAAUCAAAAGAUGAGCACAAGUAGAGAGGAAGCCUCACCAGGAAGGGGCAGCUUUGCAAACCCUCUGGCUCUGUACAGGAACGAAUUAUAGAAAGAUGGUUGAACCACUUGACAUUGCUGCCUACCACAGAGAGGGUGGAAGACACUACAUAACCAAUGGAGGAUCUAAACAUUACACGCUAUUGGAGCAAUGAUGCAAUGAAGAGGAGAAGGGGGCUUUGUCUUCUCAUGCAAAUUGCUCUCAGAGCUCAGAACCUACUCCUGAAGGGAAAGAAUCAUCAUGGAGUGAUCUGGUUAAGUUUGAGGAUUUAUUUAUAUAAUUGAACUGAUUGGAAGCUAUGCAGUGUCGGCCCCCGCCCGAGCAGCUUCAUGAAACGGUGGAAAGAGUUGGAAGAAGUCAUAGAUACUUGCUAUAGGAGCUUCAUGAAGUAUGGAGAGGUGUGGCAUAGAUACUUGCAGUCUCUGAAUUUCCCAAAUCCAAUUUCAGAUUGUGUUUUUAGAUUCGUGGAACUUGUUUUCGGGCUUUUUGUUAGGUACAAUUGAGAUGGGCUGAACCGAAAGGCCCGCCAGGAUGAACAAUAUAAUGGGCCUGAAUUUUAAACCAGUGGAUGGGUUUUGUACUGGAUUCAGCUGUCUGAGCCCAAUGAGUAUUGAAUGUGUUUCUGUAUAAAAUUAAAUUUUUAACAUUGAAAUAUAAGGACUUACUUAAAAACACAUUUGGUAACUUUUUUUUUUUUUGGUUAAUAAUAAAUUUUUUUAAAAAAAAUUAAAAAUAUAUAAUUUUUUUAGAAUAAAUUUGAGGCAUGUUUAGGUAUUUUUUGUGGUAAAGAGUUUUGAGAAGCAAUGAGAAAUAUACAGAAUACUUUAAAAACUUUUGCAUAAGUAAGAUACUUACACGAGGCUUUUAUGAAAAAUAAAUCGAUAAAAACAAUUUUUAUAUUUGAAUUUCAAAACAUAAAACAACUUAGAACUGUUUUUAAAAACUGUUCUUAAAAAUAGUUUUCUAUUAACUCACAUUCAAGGAUGCUUUUAUCUUUUAUUUUUCUAUGUUUCAUCCUUGCAUAAAUGGAGUACAAAGUCGUAAGUUAAUCUAAUUAACAAAUAUAGAUAAUCAUCCGAUAAAUGAGUAAAUUAGGUGAUGAUCUCUUUAUAUAUGCAAGUAAUGGAAUGAAUGUGAUAAAAAAAUAAAAUAAAAAAGUAAGGGGAGAAAUGUUGUAAAUAAAAUGUUUUUAUUGUGGUUCAACGACCUAUCCACUUCCACACCUUGACAUAUUUCACAAUUUUAAAAGUUUUUUUAAUCAUGAUUCUCCUUAUUGUUCUUUAAGUCUGGAUUUCUUAAGUUUCAAUAGACUUUUACAAUCACUAAGAUGACGUUUGUUUUUUCACUUAAUUCUAAAUAUAAGUUAAAACUAAAUAAUAUUUAAUAAUAUCAAGUAUUAGGUUGUUUUUUUUAUAACAUUUUAUUUCUAUAUAAUAUUAAAAAGUAAAGAAAAAUCAGUAUGUUUUUUUUUUAUUUAAAAAAAGUCAAAUAUUUUGACUUUUUUUUAAGCUAAAAAUUUAUAAUAAAAAAUAAAAAAUAAACAAACAAACAAACAACUUGAAGUGUAAAAACAGAUUGUUUUCAAUAAAAAUUUUAAAAAAUAAACACCUUAUAAAUAAAAUUCCUUAACCACUCGUACAAUAGCUUCUUUAAGCACAAAAUGUAUUGAAGCGCUCACAAUGAAAAGAUAAACAAGUUUGGAUUUAAUAUAAUUUUGGGUUAUCUAAUUAAAAAGGUGUAGACCCCCGGAGGCAGACAGUUUUUUUAGUUAUUAUUAUUAUUUGUUUAUUUUUAAUUUUUCCUACCUUUUUCUUCCCAAGCCGCUCGACAUGAUGGGACUAAAGUGGGCUGGUUUUUGGGGCAGAGAGGGGACUCAAGUGGGCGUUUUUUUUUUUUUUUGGGCGGCAGAUGGGAUGGUGUACGGGGGAUGGCUUGUGGAGGAAGACUCAAAACAGGGGAAGGAAGCGAAAGAAAGGCAGGAAAAAAAGUGUUGGAGGACGGGGGGGAUACCUUGCUCAAGGAGAAAACUUUCAGGUAAAAUUUUCUGUGAACUCCAUGUUUCUUCGUUAUGACAUUAUUGUGCUCACUUCUUUUGUUGAUUCCAGGAUGUGAUUUGUUGGUCGGUUUGGAUGUCAUGGAUUAUUGGUUUAUUUUUGCUGAAUUUAUCCGUGUGCGGAGGUGCUCUGUUUGACUCUAUUCUGGUUUCCCUAACUCCUUCCAUAAGCACCUGAAUGUAUGAAUUCAUCCCUGAGCCCGAUUAUAUAAAAAUCAUGCUUUGUUCCCUGUGGUUUCUUCCCUCUGUUUGUUGCUCUAUUCCUUGUUGGUUGUGGGAAUGAGGUCAUCGAUGGCCAGGUUAUCGAAACUGGGGAAGUGACUUCGUGAACGGAUCACCUUCUAUGCACCCAUCUCAUCUUUCUCAUUCACUCAUCACGGCUACACUUCCAUGAUUACACCAUCCUCAGUCAAAUACAUAUCUCCAUACCCAUUUUUCACCUUUCCCGUACCUUCCUCACCUAUCCAUCACACCCAUCGUCAUAUCUAGUUCAUCACUAACCCAUUUUCCUCUCGCCAGCCGUGGUUAUGCUUCGUCCAUCUCAUGCAUACGAUCCCUCACUACUAUUCCUAUAUUCUCAUCCUUCCAAACUCCUCAACACAACACCUAACCCUCAUACCUGCACCCCGCCAUGCCCGCGCCUAGCUCACCCCCAUAGGAACCUCAAAGCCGUUCGCCUACUUGCAUGGGAGCCAUGCAUGCCGCCCCUCCCCGCGUCUUCCUGCACCGGCUAUGUGCGCGCCUGCACCAGCCACCAAUGGCGGCAGCGCCUUCUGGACGUCGCCAGGCCGCUGCCACCUGCUCCGGCAACGCGCGCGCCUGCACCAGCAGCCAUGGCGGCGGCACCUUCUGAACGUCACCAGACCGCCGCCACGGCUCCCCUCUUCCCCGCGCCGCCGCUGCUCCUCUUUUCCCCGCGCCGCCAUGGCUCUCCUCUUCAUCGUGCCGCCGGUGGAGUCUUCGCGGGUGGAGAGGCAAUUGGUGAAGAGAAGCUUUGCCCAUGAUGGUUUUUGGGCUUGGGUUUGAACUGGGAACCCAGGCCCAAGCCUAUGAAGAGAAGCCCAGGUUUAUGAAGGCUUUAAUUGCCUUGGGCUUGCCCAUUAAUAUCAUAUGGAUUGGGCUUGAUGAGGAUGGGGCUUAUUGGUGGAUUUGGGCUUGACUAGGUUUGGGCUUUAUUAGGGUUGCUGAUGGACUGGGUUUGGGCUCUAUUAUUAUUAUUAAUUCAACAUUUAAAAUACUAUUAUUAUCAUUGUUAUUAAUCAAACUUUUAAAAAUCUUAUUAUUACUAUUAUUAUUAUUACGUUUAUCAUUAUUAUUAUUUCUAUUCAACAUUUAAAAUAUUAUUAUCAUUAUUAUUAUUAAUUCAACAUUUAAAAUAUUAUUAUUAUCACUAUCAUUAAUCCAAACUUUCAAAACCCUAUAAUUAUUAUUACUAACCCAAAUUUCAAAAUCUAUUUAUUUAUUAUUAUUUAUUAUUAUCAUUAAUCCAAAUUUCAAAAUCUAUUUAUUAUUGUUAUCCUUAUCAUUAAACCCAACCUCCAAAAUCUCAUCAUUAUCAUUAUUAUUAAUUCAAACUUUCAACACCUAUUUAUUAUUAUUUAUUAUUAUCAUCAGUCCAAACCUCCAAGAUCUCAUCAUUAUUAUUAUAAUUAACUCAACUUUCAAAAUUUAUUUAUUAUUAUUAUCAUCAUUAAUCCAAGCUUUCAAAAAUCUCAUCAUUAUUGUUAUUAUUACCUCAACUUUCAAAAUCUUAUUUUUAUUAUUAUCAUUGAUUAAAACUUUCAAAACCUUAUUAUUAUUAUUAAUUCAAACUUUCUAACUUCCAAUUUCCAAGCCCAAUUUAUAAAAAUUCAACCUUCAAAUGAUACUCCAAAAUUCCGAUCUUUAAAACUCAAUUUCGAUUUCCGAAAAUUCUCAUACUCACUUUAAUCUAUUUAAUUAUUGUUAUUUUGAUUAUUUAUUUCAAAACCCCAUUUCAAAUCAAAUUCUCUAAAACUUCUGAUUCUCGAAUUAAAUUCCUAAUCCCAAAAAUUCUCAUGUUCGCACUAAAUUAUUUGAUCAUUGAUAUUUUAUUUAUUUAUUUAUUUCAAAACUCCAUUUUAAAUCAAAUUCUCUAAAACUUCUGAUUUCCGAAUUAAACUCCUAAUCCCAAAAAUUCUCAUGUUCUCAUUAAUUUAUUUAAUCAUUAGUAUUUUAUCUCCAUUUUAAAUCAACUCUUUAAAACUUCAGAUUUACAAAUUAAAUUCCUAAUCUUGAAAAUUCCCAUAUUCACAUUAAUUUAAUCACUAAUAGUUUGUUUAUUUAUCUUAAAAUUCUAUUUUAAACAAUUCUUUAAACUUUCUAACUUCUAAAUCUAAUUUCCAAUUUCAAAAAUUCCAGCAUUCCAUUCAUUUAUUUAAUCAUUAUUUUCGUCCUUAUUAUUAUUAGUCCAUUUAUUUACUUCAAAAUUUCAUUUUUAAACAUUUUUUUGAAUCCCAAUUUUCGAACUUAAUUUCCAAUUUCUAAAAUUCUAAUUUCCUUCAAGUUUGACAUCCCAAAAUUCCAACUCUUAAAUUUAAUUCUCAAGACUCCAAUCUUCAAAUAAUUUUCGAGACUCCAAUUUCCAAAUAAAUUUCAAAAAUUCAAUUUUCUCUCUAACAGUUUUAAUUCUCUUCGGGUUUCAAAUAAUCUUCGAUUUCUCUUGAUUUUAUAUAAACAUGAAUGCUAUUUUCAUAAUUCCAGAAUAAUGGGAUUUGUGAUAUUAAUUCCUGCAAAAAUGAAUGGGCUUUGGUGGGGGCCCAACAUACGUGCUUUCCUCAUGAUUGAUUGAUUGUUUGAUUGAUUUAAUUGCCAUGCGUGCUUGAUUUUAUUCUGCUCUAUGGCAUGCCCGAAAUUAUCCUUUAAUUGUGCACUAACCUCACUUUUUGAUAAGCGCAUUGUGGCUCGUCACCCAGGUACGUAUCUAUCCCCAUUCUGAUAUUUCCAUAUACAUGUUUUGAUUCUCCUAUGUGCAUGAUAGUUCCGGGUAUUCAUUGUUUUUCCUCAUCAAUUGCCAUGAUUGCUUCAUUUUAUUAGUAGAGACCCAUUUAGGGACUUAGAGGGGUGCUACGGUUCAUACCGUACCUUCCUGAUAAGUAACCUGACCCUCGGACCCGAUCCGGUUUUUCACAGACCACCUUUUCCAAAGUAAGGAGUCACACUUAGGGUUUUUCUUUCUUAUUUUGUUUACCCUUUUAAAAAUAAAACAAAAAUAAGUGGCGACUCCAAGUCAUUUUCUUAAACAAUAAAAAAUCAAAUUUUCAAAUAAAAAUCGAGUCCGCCAUUGAGUGGGAAACGCAUGAGCCGAAAUGCGGGGUCCACAAAAGGUCAUUGAAAACCCAAUUUUAGAAAUAUAACCCUUCAUCAUUUUUUUUAUCUCAUGUUAACAAAAAUGCUCUUAUUAUUUUCUUAUAAAAAUAAUCAUUUCUUUUAAAACACACUAUAAAUACUCCAAAUAGUCAGGGGCUUUUAUGUAUAAAAAAAUGAAUUACUCUUUAAAUAAAAAUAUUGGAGGGAAUAAAUUAACAAAUAUGAGGUAUUUCAUCCCUUUUAUCUAAUUAUUUCUAUAAUUUUAAGAGUUUAAGAAGGCUAGACAAAGACUAAUUAUUAGGCACAUUUUGUAAAAACACUAGUUAUUAGACACAUUUUUCGCUCAAUCAAUCAAUCACGGAGUUGACUAGACACUAAUUAUUGGACUUUUUUUUUUUUUUUUUUAUAAUAAGUGAAAGACAAGAAUACAAUCGACUACUUUGGUCAAUUAAACAAUCAUUCAGUUGACUAUAAACUAAUCUUUAGAUUUUUUUUUUUAUAAUAAUUGGAAGACAUGAAUACAAUCGAUUACUUUGAUUAAUUAAUCAAUUAUUCAAGAAAUUUAGAAAAAUAUUGGAUAAAAGAUAUAUAUAACGGAUUAUUUCAAAUUGAAACUUAAGAUUAUAAAUCUUACUUUUAAUGUUGAAAAAUCAUGUAAAACACAAGUUUUUAUCUUUGAAGUAAUCAAUUUCAUUUUUCACAAAAAAUCAUUAAUAAUGCAUGAAUGAAUUCUUUUAAAAAAUCUUAUAAAAAAUGUGAUUAUUUUUCAUUCCCAAAUACUUAGGUUCUAAAGAUCAAUUUUAAAGCAUACUUAUCCUUACUAUGCCUUACAAGAAAAUCUAUUCUAUACAUAUGAUCUUGUAAAAAAAUGUAAAUAAAAAAAUAAAAUAAAAUAAAAAGAAAAAAAAAAGCCUCUCUUGUUUUCCUCUUUUGACUGGAUAUCAUUACCAUACCUAAAAUUAAAUAUUUAAUUAAAAUAUUAUUUUACUAUCAUCAAAAUUUAGAUUUAACCAAACUUUAGGCUAGUAUGUUGAUACGAUAAGUUAAUUUUCUAUCUUAAAGUUUUAAAAACUUUUGAAAUUAAACAUUUUCUUACACAUUUAUUUUUAAAGUUUUUUAGCAUAAAAUUUAAAAUUGAAGCUUUUAAGGGAAAACCUCAUAAUAUAAUAUACUAGAAAGACAUGGUCAAACAAAUAGAGACGAAGCCUCAAAAGGAAGGGGCAAUGGUUGAACCACUUGACAUUGUUGCCUACUACUAAGAUGGUGUAAGAAACAACAUAACCAAUGGAACAUAUGCACAUUAAACAUUGUACAAUUAUUAUAAAUGUCUUAUACAUUAUGUGUGAAAAUACGAAAUAAAUAAAUAAAAUUAUAUUCAACAUUUAUAUUUGUAUACAAACAAUAUUUUCGAUAGUUUGAUAUAAAAAAACAAAUAAAAAAAUGAAGAAAAGCAUAUAAAUAUAUUUUCAAUGGACAAACUUAUUCAAUUAGUAUAAAUAUCUUGUAUAUUUAAUACAAAUACCUUAUACUUUGUGAAAAUGUAAAAAUAUAGUAUUUGAUAUUUAUAAAUGUGGGUAAGUAAUUUUUCUAAUGGUUUGAUUUAAAAAAAAAAUAAUGAGAAUCAAGAAAUACAUGCAAAUAAAUUAGUGUGAAUGAUAAAGGAUGUUUUUUUACCAUAAAUUUUCAUGGACUUAGCAUCAAUUAUGCAUCUAUAGAUGUUAACCCAAUUAGCAUAAUGUGAAAACCCUUACACACAAUAUAUAAACCCUAUACUUGAAUUAGGAAGGACAAAAAAAAAAUAGUUAGAGCAUUUGGUACCAUCAAUGAUGACUUCACCUAAAGAAAAGUUAAUGAACAUUAUGUUCUCAAUGGAAGAGCAACCCUAGUAGGACAUAUGGAGUAAAUUGAUGCUCUUCUUUCGACAACGAAGUAGCUAAGUCAUGAAAAUGGGGUUUUGCUAACAACAUUAAAUGCAAGAAUUCCCCAAUAUACUGCAAUUCAUAUUCAAUUCAUAGACUUUCAACUAACUACUCUCAAUAACGAGCAAACCCAAGUCAAUACAUAAGAUUGAUUAUUACUUAUGAUAAUUGAAACCAUAAUUAAUAAGACAUAUAUAUAUAUAUAUAUAUAUAUAUAUAUAUAUAUAUAUAUAUAUAUAUAUAUAUAUAUAUAUAUAUAUAUAUAUAUAUAUAUAAAAAAAAUAGAGACAAUUGUGUUUUGGAUCCAGGUGGAUCAAAAAAUAAGGUUUGGUUUAUAGAACUUACAUAAUUGAUGGAAAUGAUAUAAGUUAUCAAAAGACCAAAAUACUCAUUGACCUUUCACGUAAGUUUUUUUGGUCUUUAUUGUACCACUAUUCAUGCAACCAUAAUAAUUUUAUUUUAACUAUUUGGAUUUUUCAUUGUUUUUUAAAACUUUUUUUUUUAUAAAUAAUUGAAAAUCAACAUUAUUUUCUAUUUUAAAUUAUAAAUAAAGAAAAAUUACGUUCAAAAACUAUUUUAAAAAAUACUUUCUAAAAAAAUGGUAAUAUGAUUUAUAUUUUUUACAUUUUCUAUUAGAAAAAAAUAUUUAAUUAAAAAUGAAAAAUAAUUUUUAAAAAUAAAAAUUGAAAACCUUGUUUAGUACUAUUUUUUUAUAUGAAAAUAAUAAAAAUAAUUAAAUUUCAUUAAUUGAUUAUCCAUUAAAUUUUAUAUGAAAAUUUUUUAUAAGAGUAAAAAGAUUCAAUAUCUUUAAAAAAAGAAAAAAAAAACAAAACAAAACAAUAAGUUAGAAAUGAGUAAUACUUAAUUGGGAAUAGAAAAGGGGAAAAAAUUGAAAUUUACACUCAUUAUAUGCCUAUGUAGGGAUUAAAGGUAUUUUAGGGAUUAAUGAAGGAUAAUAUCCUUUAACUUAAUUUUUAUAAUUUAUUUGGGUCUUGACCUUAAAUGUGCAUGAUAUAUGGAUCUUUGGUCAAUUUUUGGGCCCAUUCGGGCCCAAAAUACAAUUCUCCCUACAAAAAUAUUUAUUAAAAUAAAUUAAUUAAUAAAAGCCAUUUAAAGAGUUUCAUAACUUAGUAUCGAAGCUAUUGUAAGAAAAAAGUAUUAUAUAAUGUAGGGUUUAGGUUCAAAGUCUACCUAAGAUUAAAUUUAAGUCUCGAGACAAAUUCACAUUCAAAACUAGGUUUUUAAGUUUGAAAAAUAGAUCCCUUAAACAAAUUAAAUGGUAAAAAAUAAUUACAAAGAAAAUUUCUCUAGCUGGUUUCUUCAUCUUGAAAACUAACGGAAACAUAUAUUAAUAUUUGGUAUGAAAAUUCGUAACCUUAGAAACACAGCUUUGAGUCUUGCUGAGAAAAACAAAGCUUAUUUGCUCGUAGACCAUCGUAGUGGUCGUCAUACCGUGUGAGGACCGGGGAAGCAUCUUUGCUCGUAGACCGGCUUUUGUAGUCUUUCUUUAACAAUUACAAGUUGUCAGGAUUCCCUUCAUCCUCCCAAAUAAUAUUGUUUUUGGUCUUGUUCUGGUUGCAUCUCCGUGGAAGGAAAGAAGAUGAAUCAAGUUCCUUUGUAAGUAUCAAUGUCUCUGAUUCAUUUUUUGGUUCCUAGAAUCGAAUCCUCGCUCUGUUCUUGCUUAAUUUCUCCUUUUUCUGUUGGGUCUUUCACUGCAGGUUUAGCUCUGCACGGGAACUGGCAAAUUUGGUGCUGAGCUCCAAUCUAAUCGACUGUGCUUUCACCAAAAUUCUUGAACUUAAGAGAGGCCAAACAGCCUUGCCUGUUCAAUACAGACUUUAUCAACUGUCUUCCAAGUGCACAAUUGUAGCUUUUGUCUCUUCACCUGACUGCACUCAAUACCCUCUUCCUGGACAAGGAGAUUUAGAUCGGUCUCCUCUCUUUGACUUCCUCCGUACCGAAGAAUACCCGUCCGUCUCCAUUAACAGAGCAGCAUUAGCCCUCUAUACCCCUCUCCAUGAUCAUCUCUCUGGACUAACAGAUGAGGUCAAAAUCUGAUACUUGUUUGAAUUUUCGUUUCCUUUUCGUUAACAAUUGUGAGACACGAAACAGCUUGACCAUGAGAUCUCCCUCAUGGAGUCGAACUACCUGAAGGAUAAGACGUCACACAUAUCCAUUUUCAUGGCAUCGUCACAUGACCCAUUGAUCGGUUGUGAUUCAACUCUUAAUAGGAACACAGUAGAACUGGUGUUGGUAUAUCUGUCUUUAGAUAAGCUUGCAUAUAUCUUGUCACUGAAAAAGGAAUGUUCAGAAGUGAGAUUAGUGGCAUUAUUCUGACAUGGAUUUCAUAUGGUUACUUGUUUUGCAGUUGACUCAGAUUGAAGGUCAGUUAAUCAUCACUGGGCACUCCCUGGGAGGAUCCGUUGCUUCUCUCUUCACCUUACGCCUGCUAGAUGGCAAUUUAUUAAAACCCAAAUGCCGCCCCUUUUGUAUCACCUUUGGUUCACCCCUCAUAGGCGACUUUGGCCUCCAACACUCCAUAUGGAAUUCUUUCUUCCUGCAUGUAGUGUCUAACCAAGACCCAGUCCCCGGACUCUUCCUCCCAUCCGGCAGAUCUCCGCCCACAUCCUCCCAUUCACAAACUACCGGUUACAAGCCCUUUGGGACAUAUCUCUUGUGCUCUGAACUUGGUUGUGCUUGUUUUGACAACCCUGAUUUAAUUUUGGGAUUGCUUAAAGUCAUAUCAUCAGAGGUUGCCGGAGGAUUGCAGGAUGUUGACUAUGGGGAGAUUUUAAGAAACCUCAAGGAGAGGGCAAUCUGCAAGGGACUGCCGCAGGUGGGUGAACGGUUUGCAGAUCCAUUUUCAGCUGGGAUCAUCAUGGAACUUGAGACAAUUGGAUUUAAUCAAACAAAGGUAAACAGCUUUCUCCCAUCUAAUGAUGUUAUGAAACAUGGUUUACACUACACCAAAUACUGCAAUAACUGCCCUAUUCAGAUUUAUCUUCUUGUUCUUUGGGAUCUUCCAUAACUAGUCUCAUUUUUAAAAUUCAUGGCAGUUGCUGCAGCAUAACAUUGAUAUCAACGCUAUGAUAAGAACAAUGGAAGCGGAAACCAGAAGCCUAAUCCAGAAAAAUAAAGCUUCCGAUGCCAAGAAACUGAAUGACAUAAAAAGAGACAUGGCCCAUCUAGAAUGGUAUAAGAAGAAAUCGGAAAUGGGUUACUACGAUUGCUUCAAAAAUCAGGGGUCUAAAAGGGACAUCAACGUUGAACAAUUUAGGGGAAACCUCACAAUGUACUGGGAAGACAUGGUUGCACAAGUACAGAGGAAGCCCCAGAAGGAAGGAGCAACAUUUCGAACCCGUUGGUUCUAUGCAGGGACAGUUUAUAGGAGAAUGGUUGAACCACUGGACAUUGCUGCCUUCUACAGAGAGGGUGGAACAGACUACAUAAACAAUGGAAGAUCUCUUCAUUACAAGCUGUUGCAGCAAUGGUAUGAAGAAGAUGUGAAACCCCCCUCUAGAGAUAAGCUUGAUUCCAAGAAGCAAAAGGUGUCUGGUAUCCUAACUGAGGAUUCUUUGUUUUGGGCACAUGUGGAGGAGGCCAUCUUGUCAUGCGAAUUGCUCAAGAGUCAAAACUGUACUCUUGAGCAGGGAAAAUCAUCAUGGGAUAAUCUGGUUAAGUUCGAGGAGUAUGUAAUGGAACAUAUUAACAACUAUGCAGCGUCCCCUGAGAUUUUCUCGAGGGAAAGCAGCUUCAUGAAAUGGUGGGGACUGUAUGAGGGCUACAUAGAUACUUGCAGUAAUUCCCAUGGGUCGCCAUUGAUCAACUUCAUGAAGAAACGUAGCUAUAUGAAGUAUGGUUAGAGGGGCAAUCCAGUUUGUGUGUUGUGUUUGUUGUUUUGUGAGCGUUCAAUGGAUAAAACUAGAAAGAGUGACCUUUUUCCCUUUUUCUUGGUUGCUGCCCAUAUUCUCAGCACUAUUUUCUUCCUUCUUUUCCUCUGUUUUUUUGUUAAGAAAUGAAUAUUAUGAUGUUGCUGGGAUGCACUUUCAUUGUUGUUCUAUUACAUUGUGUUUUAUUUAUAUCC